UAUUCGUUUGUUACCAUUUUGAGUAAUAUUUUUAUGUUAUGUGUGUCGUAACAUAACAAUGUACCUAGAUAUUGUUGAAAAAAUUAUGUAGUACAUUCAGCAGACCUGUAAAAGCUUACUAGUUUAUGCACAUUUAUCUCAUAAACAGAGUAAACAUUUUUUUUUUGGGUCCUUGACCUUGCAGAGCUUGCUUACACAAUGAAGAUCACAGAGAAAUGCGAUGUGUACAGUUUUGGAGUGUUAGUGUUGGAAGUGAUCAAAGGGAAGCAUCCAAGAGAUUUUCUUUCUUCGAUUUCAUCUUCAUCUCUCAACACGGAUACAGCACUUGAUGAAAUGUUGGACCCGCGUCUUCCAGCUCCAUCAUGCAGUGUUCAAGAAAAACUGAGAUCAAUCGUGGAGGUUGCGUCUUCAUGCUUAAAUGAGAGUCCGAAGUCUAGACCAACUAUGAAGAUAGUCAGUCGACAAUUGCAGAUUUCAGCUGCCUUGACUGAGUCUUAAUUUUCUAAGUAUACUUCUAAUUUGCUUGGUGUCUUUUUUUUUUCUUUCUUCUAAUUUGCUUGGUUUAUUUUUCUCAUGUACUGCAGUUUGUUUGGUUUAGUUUUCAAGAAUCAGGAGGCGUUGGUUAUUACGUCAUCCAUAUAUGCUUGGUAUAUGGUGUACUCUUUCAUUUAUAAAUAAAAUAAAGUUUGCACAUGGGGCAGUGGUGAGCACAUUUGAAGAACAAGAUUAGUAAGACAGUUUGUAAUAACUAAAAAUAAUAAUUUCUGGCGACAUGUACAAAAAGGUGAACCCCUCAAAUGUAAACUAGAAAGUGCGUUAUUGAUGCGAGAUUCUGGUUGCCUUCUCUACCAAGACCAGGGCCUCUGCUCGAUCAACUCUACUACGACCAGGUUCCCUCCUCGCAAGGCUUCUUCUCCGAAAGUUCCUGUGUACACAGAAGCAGGUCAGAGUACGCCGGUUGUUUCCCCGGCGUAUACUCUCCGACGCUCAAGUCAGAUAUGAAGGUCUUUUGCGCUCUUGGGAACACUAGCCAAUAAUCUUCUGGCUUUUCUCUAGUACCCGUUCUUUAGAGCUUUCUUUUCUUAGUUAUAAUAUCAAAAAUGUUAACCCUUUUACCUUCGUUGGCUACCUUUUUAUAGGCCACUUCUGAACUCCGGCCUCCACUCCAUUCGUGCCCACCUCUCGAAAGUGGAUACUCCAUUUCCGUAAUCGUGGGUGGUUGCGUGGGCUUCGUGCCUUGAUUCUCGGACUGGAGAGCACGUCUCGUCAAUUGUCGUUGACCGGGUCUCCUCAACUCAACCCUUAACAAGAAUGUAGCAGGAAUGACUUUAUGCUUCCAGAAGGAGACUGGCCUCGUGAAUGGCGUGCUCGUGGACGAGCAGGAUAUUCCUGCCCCUGCUCCCCUGGACACCAGACUCUUACAAGAUAUAUCUGCUCGAGGAACCCUGCUACCAGAUGUCUGCUAAUCACUUCUGGUCUUCGUCGAAGCAUACCCCACAAACAUGCGUACCACUGUAUUAAUUAAUGGCUGGCUCUUACUUACCGAUAAUGUUAAAUUAAAUGUUAAAAGAAAGGAAUAGAUAUGGGGAAAAAAUUAAAAAUUGAGGAUAAUUUACAAUGUAGUCCUAGUGAUUUAACCGAAGAUCAAAUAAACCAAUAAUAAUCAUUUUUUUUUGAAUGAUUUGUCUUAGCUUUGAGUAAACGAUUUGAAGGAACUUAUCGCUCUCACCAAUUGUCUUGAAUGCUCUAAUGGCUUAUACUUUGUAGAAUCGCCAAUGUUGUGAUAACAACUUUGAUGGUUAAAGUUUGAUUGUGAAUCUCGAUUGAAUGACUUAAUUUACAUUUGAUUCUUAUGCCGACCUGUACCAAGUUAAUCUUUUUUCUGGAUGUUUAAUUUUGUUAUGUCAAAGUUAAUUAGUUGAUGUCCUAUAUUUGAUCAAUGUGGAUGGCUGAUCAAAAUUAAAGAAUCCUUGAACGAAUUGCGGCCUUGACAGAGAUACGACAUCAGGGCAUUGUAAAAACAUGACUGACAUUCAAUUUUAGUUUAUGAAUUUCUUGAAAGGGGUAGCUUGGCCAUAAUCUUGAGCAAUAAUGCAGCCGCUGAAGAGUUAAGUGGGUUGGAGUCAGAGAAUGAACGGGAUAAAAGGCGUUGUCGAUGCCUUGUAAUAUUCAUUUGUUGCCAUUUUGAGGAAUAUUAUCAUCCAACACAUUCUAUAGAGAUAUAAAAGCUUACUAAUUUAUACGCAUUGAUCUUUCAAAAGCGAGUAAACAUUUUUUUUUUCUUUUUUAUUUGUCCUUGACCUUGUAGAGCUUGCUUACACAAUCAAGAUCACAUAAAAAUGAGGUGUACAGUUUCGGAGUGUUAGUAUUGGAAGUGAUCAAGGGAAAGCAUCCAAGAGAUCAGAUGUUUUUUUCCGCAGUUUCAGCUUCAUCUUCCAAUGCUGCUUGAUGAAAUGUUAGAUGUUCAGAGCAAGUUGAUCAUUACUGUUUGAAUUUUAAAUAUCUGCCUUCAUUUCUGCUGCACAAGUUAAUUAUACCCAUCAUGCUUAUGCAGGCCUUAAUUCGGGGCAAAACAAUGUUAGUUGACAGAAUUUUGCAACUAGAGAAGGAUGUAAUUCAUAGUUAAUUAGUCUGUCUUCAACACAAAAUAGAAAAUUUAGUUGACAGAUGGCCACAAAAGACUAGCUUCGUUUUUGCUAAAAAAUAAAUAAAAUCUGCUUCAAUGCCCCCAAUUUCAAAACUAUCAUUGAUAUAGAGCCAUUGAACCUGGGCUUCAUAUUCAACUUUUCAGCGUUCCAUUUCUAGCCUGAAGUUUUUGAGAGCUUGGACGCACUUGAGUCUUGACAGUACUACAUAACCCUCGCGAGAUAUGUCCCAAAUCCCCUGGGCCAUAAUUUUGCUACAAAACCCGACAGAAUUAAUGAUCCUUAUUAAUUAUGAAUUACAUCGUCCUUUGGUUGCACAAUUUUGGAUAAAAAAAUUGGACCAGUUUCGGUGAUCGGCUGAGCUUGUAUGGACUAUUAAGCACUAAAUCAAUAGUUUAGAUUUGUCCAACAUGAGUUUCACGUGGAUCCCAAUCAACUCUUGACCAUAGAUUCUGUACCUACACAACAUGCUUAUGGUUUAAAAAUAAAAUAAAUCAUGUUAAUGCUUUGAAUCAAUACUUAAUGCAUUGACAAUCAUUUUCUUUGUGCACCAAGAAAGUUUAAUGGUCCAUCUAUUAGUUUACAUCUGCUUAAUUUGAUUGGAAUGAAACGAAAUUAAUAGUUUCUUUGUUUUAAAAAAUAAAUAACUAUAAUUUCUUGAAUAUUCGAUGAAUUAACAAAAGAAUUGUGAAUGAAGUUUUGUUUGGUAUUAAGGUAUUGUUAUCUUUAAAUCACAAUUAUUGUGAAAAAUAAAGGUAUAAUAAAAAAGUAAAAGUUGGUAAUUUGUAAUAAAUAUAACUUUUAAUUGAUAAUUUUGAUAAAAAUAAUAAAAAUACAUAAUUUUUCUAUCAUUAAAGUAAAGUUAUUUCAACUUCUAAGUCAUAGUGAUGAUAGAGUUACAAACUCUUAUAUAAAUUUAUUUUAUAUAAACUGAUGCAUAAAUUAUUUGUUAGAUAAAAAUACAAAAUAAUAAAAUAAAUUAUGUGAAACAAAAAAUAUUUAAUUUAAUUUUAUUAAUUUUAUUAUGUCAUGUUAAUUUAUAUAAAAUAAAUUUAUAUAAAAAUUUGUAAUUAGAUUAUUGAUAUGCACCCAUAUAUAGAGUCUUCUAUUUAUGUUAGUGUAAACCAGCACCGAUACAUACAGUAUUCUAUUUGCUUGAGUGUUCUAUCCAAUUUUUCCGUCCAAUAUGAUUACUCUUAAAAUGAAGGAAACCAUGGACCCCAUGAACGAGACAUCACGUGGGCCCACUAAUCUUGAUGAUAAGUAUUGAUAACAUCUUUUUCAUGUAAAAAAAACACCCCCGCUUUACAACGACACCGUCUUUUCUUUGUCUUUCCUUUCGUUUUCGUCAGCCUCCACCAACCCUUAAAUAGCCGCCCCAUUUUCUUUCACUCCUAUCCGUUGUCCACGCGUCCCACCAUGAUUGCUUCUCCGGUUCUAAUCACAAGAUUUUCGUCAAAUGGACGUACGAAAUGGGCCCCAUCUCUGCGCAGACCACACCGUCUAUUCUCUUUGUGAAAGGAAAAUAAAACUAUUAAAAUCUCUAAAUCACUCUAUCUUCUCGUGAUAAAUUGAAUUCAACUCUUUUUUUAAUCUUUUAUUUAUAAAUAGUAAAUAAAAAAAUCAAAAGAAUUCAACUGAAUAUUCCUUUUGAGAAAUUAUAAAAACAGAAUUAUACAGUGGUGAACUUCCUUGCACGAACAUGACCUUGAUUCAAUUUAUUGAAUAUACGUAUAUGUUACUUUAAUAUAUUUUUUCUUAUCGUUUAUAAAAUGUGGUGCUUAUUUUCUUUCGUAUACCAAACAAUAGAUGUGUAUGUAGGUUGAAGCAAAUAUAAUUUUAUAAAAUAACACUAUGUUGUAUGGUAUUUGGUAAAAUAUUUAAUCUUGACAUCUUAUGACAUUAUUAUUAUUAAAUCUUCAAUAAAGAUUCUUCAUUGUAUUGAACAAUUUUUUAUAUAAUAUAAACUAUGUAUUUCGUCAUAAUGGAAGCUGUCAAGAAAGGUUGUCUCAACUCUAUAUUAAGAAUUUGUAUUCAUAAAUAUAUAAUAUGAUAUAAACCUUAAACAUUAAAAUUGUUUCAUAACUUGGUUAUCAAUAAAAGAUUUAACAAUUUUUUAAUUAUUGAUUGUAAAUAUUAGCACAUUAUAAUACAAUAUAAAAAUAACCUUACAGUUAAUUUAUUAUUGUCACAUUAUAAAUCUAUAGAAUUAAUUUGAAUUAGUAAAAUUAUUAAGACAAAGUUAGAAAGAUAUAUCAAAAUUGGCUAGGUCCAGCUAGUUUGCAACCGUGAUUUGGUACCUCAUUUUUUUUCUGUUUGUGAUCCAACCAUUAAAUUCAACCCAAGAGUUGCAAAAACUAUUUCAACGAAAAGGUUGCAAUUACUUGGUUAUUAACGCUGCAACCCCUCCUAUUUCAUAAAAAAAAAAGAAAAUGUUAAAUUUCAAGAUUUUGAUACAUAAGUCCAUCAAAAUAUUUUAUGAUCUUUAUAUAAGUCAAGAGUAAUUUAAUAAAUAAAUAUAUUUAGAUAUACAAAAAUAUGGAUGGAUUAUUUUAACUUAGUAAACACUCCCCACACCCAUUUAUUUAAAAUAUCAAUUACAAAAAAUCCCAUUUUUAGUAUAUUUUUUUAAAAUAAAAUACCCAUUUAAUGUUUUACCAUUUAAGAUAGUGUUACUUAUAAGGAUAAAUAAUUAUUUUAAUUAAAUAAAUGAAACUUAACUUUUAUUUCUAUAAAUUUGCUCAACAUCAAAUAACCUUAUAAUUGUUAGCAUAAGAUAUAAAUUUAGUCUAAAAAAUUUAUUCAAAGGGUCCCCUUCGGGCAAAAAAUAAAUUAUCAUAUGAUAAUUUGGUUGGCACAAAUUGUAUUAUUCUUAAUUUACUUAUUAAUGUCAAACACUAUAUUAGAAUUAAAUUUUAGUAAAAUAAACCUAUGUCAUCAUCUUUAACCACAUUCAACAGACCCUAAUUGUUUAGAUUUUGUUAUAAAGAGCAAGAUAUAGUUCUUCUCUUAUUACGGUAGUAAAAAAAAAUAAAAAUAAACACAAUAGAUUUCUUUUAAGAGAAUGCAAGCAUUAUUUUUAUGAGAUUUUGUGUUCAAGAAAUUAAUCUAAUUAUGUGGUUAGAAGACUCUAUUUUUUGAUAUUUUAGAAGAAUUAUUUGUUGGAUAAAUGAAUAAAUUAAGGUCAAAGCAGAACAAAAUGAUUGAGAAGAAAACCGAGAGAGAAUAAUUUUUUAGAAUUUUAAAAUUUUCAUAUUUUAAUUAGGGUUUAUUAUGUAAAUUUAUUGAAAUUUAUAGUUUUUAAUAUUACAGAAAACAGUAGAGAUUGCUGAAGAAAAUGCCAAAUAAAUUUUUUAGAAUUCUAAAAUUAUUAUAUUUUAAUUAGGGCUUAUUGUGUAAAAUUUUUAAAAUUUAUAGUUUUUAUUAUUUGCCAAAAACAAUGGGGACUGUUAAAGAAAAUGUUAAAAUUGGGUGUUUGGUAUAACAGAGGCAAGAUAGUUCUGUCCAAAUUGGGAAAUAAAAAUUCAAAAAUAUCUUGUCAUAUUAGUACACCCCCAAAACGUCACCGUUUCAUUCUCACUCCUUCCUCACACCCCUCUACUUUUCCCCACAUUCCUUUGUUUCGUAUCAACUCAAAAAUUCAUUCUUUUAAAUGCCUGCAUUCAGCCACUGAUGCACGCAUUUGAUAAAUAUGCUGCAGCAUCAGGGCAGAUUUUUAAUUUCCAGAAAUCCUCAUUGUUCUUCAGUGGAAAAAUUCCAGAGCAUCAACGGGCUGCUAUAAAGGGUAUUUUUAAUUUAAAUGUUGUCUCAAAGCACGAGAAAUACCUCGGUCUACCGUCAAUGAUUGGGAGAAAGAAGAUGGGGUUCUUUAAUGAUAUCAAGCUGAAAGUGUUGAACAAGAUUGCAAGAUGGCAGCAAAAAAUUUUGUCUAGUGGGGGGAAGGAAGUUUUGAUCAAAGCGGCUGCCCAAGCAAUUCCGACGUAUGCAAUGAGUGUUUUCAAGCUCCCAAGAGGCUUUUGUGAUGAUAUUCAGCGAGCUAUAGCGAAGUUCUGGUGGGGCUCGAAAGGGGAUAAGCGCGGAAUCCAUUGGCGGAAAUGGGAGAAGCUCAGCCAGGCUAAGAUUAGAGGGGGGCUAGGAUUUCGAGAGUUUUCUUGCUUCAAUCAAGCGCUGGUAGCUAAGCAAGCUUGGAGGUUACUGCAGUACCCAAAUUCGCUGGUCUCCAGAGUCCUUCAAGCAAGAUAUUUCAGGAAUUCCAGCUUUUUAUGUGCAAAGGCAGGAGCCAAUGCCUCAUAUAUUUGGAGAAGCAUCAUGUGGGGUAGGCAGGUGAUUGAGAAGGGUAUGAGAUGGCGGAUAGGCAAUGGCAAGAAGAUUGCAAUCUUCUCGGAUAACUGGCUGCCAAGACCAGAGACCUUCAGACCUAUCUUCCCUCCAUCUUUGCCCGUAAGCUCAGUUGUGGCAGAUUUAAUUAAGGCUGAUAAUCAAUGGGAUGAAAUAAAGAUUCGACAGCACUUCUUGGAUGUGGACACAACAGAGAUCCUCAAGAUUCCCCUUCCAGCUGAGGAAGCUGAAGACGAAGUGCUUUGGCAUUACGACAAGAGAGGGAUCUACUCUGUCAAGAGUGGGUAUCAGCUAGCAUUGAGAUCAAAAUUUCCAGAUUCCACCAGCUGCACAGAGGCUUCCCACAAGUACUGGAGUGCUCUUUGGACUCUGGAGCUGCCUGAGAAGCUAAAAAUUUUCAUGUGGCGGGCCUCUAAUAAUCUGCUUCCAUCGGCGGAAAAUCUGUGAAAAAGGAAGGUAGUGAAGGAGCCAACUUGUAAGCGAUGCAAGCUUAGUGUUGAAACUAUCAGCCAUGCUCUCUUGGAAUGUAAGGCAGCAAGGAAAAUUUGGCUCCAAUCCCCCUUUCCAGCCCCUAGAUUAGAAGCUAAUUCUCAGGACAUUUUCAGCAUUCUGCAGAAAAUGGCUAAUGAGCUGAGGAAAUCAGAUAUGGAAUUAAUGGUAGCUCUGUGUUGGUCAGCCUGGUAUGCUAGGAACAAAUGUAUCUUUGAUGGUAGGGAGAUUAAUCCUAUUAUAUCAGCGGCUAAAGCGGAGUCGGUUGUGACAGCUUUUCAGAGAGUCAGGAAGCCCCAGCAAGCUCACAUCUCCAUCUCCAUAAAAGAGAAGCAGUAGGAGUGGCUCCCCCCUCCCCAGAAUGUUUUUAAAGUCAAUGUGGAUGCUGCUCUUAAUUCGAAGAAUCUGAGUGCAGGAGUGGGAGCUGUGAUUAAAGACUCUCAUGGGAAGAUAGUUGCGGCUGGGGUAAAUCAGAACCUCCUAAAGGGGUCAGCGAGCUUGGCUGAAGUAGAGGCGGUGCUUUGGGGCCUUCAGCUGGCAAGAAAGGUGGAUGUAUCCUCUUUGAUUAUUGAGUCUGAUUGUUUAGAGGUGGUCCAGCUAGUGAACAACACCAAGGGCAGCAGAUCAGAAAUUUAUUGGACAAUUCUGGCGAUGAAGUUCUUCCAGAAAGUGGUUGUCAAUCACAUUCCAAGACACUGUAAUGCUUGUGCCCAUUACCUAGCUAAGAUAGCUUUGGGGAAAAUCUCUCCCUGUAUGUGGCUGGGGAAUAUUCCAGUUGAAUUGUAUGAUAUCAUUAAGGUGUUGUGAUUAAUGAAAGGUUUACUUUCUUUUCAAAAAAAAAAUUCAUUCUUUUAACAUUAAUAAUAAUACUUUUAACAUUAAUAAUAAUAACCCCAAAUAUCUCCUCUAGCUUUUUGCUGCUUCUUAAUUUUGAUCGACUAUGACGAUGUACUAAAGCUUCUUAAUUUUUUUCAGUUUUUUCAGUCAACGCUUUUGCUUCAAGAUUUCGUUUUACCUUCCUUGAAAAUUAAAGCUCACCUAAUUGAUACAAUUAAAACUCUUUUUUUAGCUGAAAAGUGAUAUAAUUUUCACUACUUUCAGGAAAUUACGUGGUUCGACUUUUAGCCUACGUCCACGGACGAAGACAAAAGGAAAAUAUUUUAUUAGUGAAAAGGAAUUACAAGUAUUGUGGUAUUUUAGCUUAUUAUCCAAAAUCCCAAUACACCCAAACUCUCAAAACACUAAUCACUCAAGAGUUUAUUAAACUCUUAAUACUCUCAACUUUCUAAAGGAAGGAAAUGCUUCUCUGUCGAUGGAAUGAAUUUGCUCAUUCUCUUCGUUUCUAUUUAUAGAGAAAGUUUUGGCACUAUUCAUCAAUUAUAUAUUAUUUUAUUAAUUUUUUUUCUUUGCCCUUUUCGGCCCGGUACCCAUUUUUCCUUCUUUCUCCAUUUUUUCUUUUCUUCCCGUCAAAGACGGAAGUAAUGCUUUCAUCUUCAAAAUGGCCAGGCCCACCUUCUAGAAGGGUGGUGCCCACAUGCCAUUUUUGUCAUAUUAGUAUACCCGAAAUCUGGCAAGGAUUGAGAAAUUAAACUUAGUUUUGUUUGUUAAACUGGUUGAUAUGAAUAUGAAAAGAUAUUGUAAUUCAACUUUUAAAGUCUGUUAAGAUAUUUGAAUUGAUUAAUUACAUUUAGCUUUCUAUUUUAGUUAAUUAAGUGAAUUUGUUACUAGUGCUGAUGUGGCAGUCCAGUCAGCUAAAUCUGUUAUGAUCGUUAGCUUAAACAAACACAUUACUCACAUGCAGAGUAAAGAAUAUUCCAUACAGCCUUUUGUAUAAAUGCUUGUAAUUCAGCUCGUUUGAGCUUUAGAUAAAUACAACAUUCUCUCUCUGUUUUCUCAUUCAUUUUCUCUGCAACCAAACAACUCUUUUAUCUUUACAUGGUAUCAGAGCUAGAUCUGUAAGCUGAAAAUGGCCUUAGCUCAUUCUAAUCAAAACACAGUAACCUCCAUUUCUUCUUUUACGUUCACAUCACCAAUUAAGCUUGAUCGAUCGAAUUACACAAUCUGGAAAUCUCAUAUCCUUUCUUCAGUUCGUGCUAAUGGACUUGAAGAUCUUCUUGAUAGUUCAAAGUGUUGUCCAGAUCAAAUUCUUCCUCAUGAUUCUGAAGACUCAACAGCUGAAACUUAGAUUAAUCCAGCCUUCACAGCUUGGAAGAGGAAGGAUCAAAUGUUGCUGAGCUGGUUGAUGUCAUCUAUUAAUCUCGAAAUUUUUAGCCUCGUGGUAAAUUCUGAAACCUCUCUUGAUCUGUGGAUAAGUCUUGAACAUCAGUUUGGAUCUGAAACAUUUGCUAAGAAGGUUCACCUAAAAAUGAUGCUUAACAAUCUGAAAAAAGGAUUAAUGUCUAUGACUGAUUUCUUUGGGAAACUAAAAACGAUAACUGAUGAAUUAGCCAUUGCUGGAAAUCCUAUCAGCUCUUUAGAUUUCAUUACUCACCUGAUCUCUGGAUUAGGUCAACCUUACUACCCUGUAGUCGUAUACAUUGAAGCAAACCUUGCCAAAAUGACCAUCAAUGAAGCAUAUUCUAUGCUUUUAACUCAUGAAGCUAGGCUGGAAGCACAUCAGUCAAGUGCUAGCAAGGAGGCUAAAUUGAACUAUGCCGCUAACAUUGCUCAAACUGGAUCUAAUAAUAAAUCUAGCAAUCAGUUCAAUACUAAUUAGAACAAAAAUGCUGGGAAUAAUAAUGGAGGCAGAGGUGGCUAUGGUAGAGGUUAUACACAAGGUCAGGGGAGAAGUAAUUGGAAUAAUAAUUGGAAUGGUAAUGGUGUGCAAACUAAAAACUAUCAAGGAAGAGUAUCAUUCCAAACUGGGAACUAUCAAGGAAGAGGUUAUGCUGGAAAUGGAGUUUAUGUUGGUGGCAAUGGCAAUGGCAACUUUGCCAAGAAUGAUGGAGGUUUUAAUAAUGGCAAGAAUUUCCUUGAUCCAAAUGUUGCCACUGUCACUUGCCAAAUCUGCUUUAAACCAAGGCAUACUACAGCUGAGUGCAGAAACAUGUUUAACCGAGAUUUUGUUCCCUUUUAUCCAACCUUUGGCUACAAUCCAGCUCAGUCUCAAGCACCAAGAGCAGUUUUUCUCACAACCUCUGAAGGAGAAAUGGCUGAUCAAGGCUGGUACAUUGACAGUGGGGCAACCCACUAUCUCACCAACAAUUUACAAAAUCUGAAUUUUGGAAAAGAGUAUUCAGGUAAUCAGUUACUGCAUGUUGGUAAUGGUCAAGGAUUAUACAUCUCACACAUUGGAUAUACAUGUCUAUCUACAUCAUGUGGCUCAUCUUUACAUUUACAUGAUAUCUUAUAUGUUCCUCAACUCACCAAAAAUCUUAUUAGCGUUUCCAAGUUGCUUGAGAAUAACAAUUUAAUCAUUGAAUUUGUUGCAAAUAUGUGUUUUAUUAAGGACAAGAAGAGGGAUGUGCAUCUGGCUCAAGGGAUUGCUAGAGGAGGAUUGUAUCAACUGCUAUAAAAAAAUGACUUUGUCUCCAACUCUUGUAAUCUGACAUGUGGUCCUAGUUCUAUGCUUUCUAUUUUCAAUAGCUCAACUUGUAAUCAUUCUGAUUCAGCUGAGAAUAAAACAUGUAUUCCUCAGUGUCAUACAAACACUGUUAAGUCAAUAAUGUCAGCAAACUUGUUUAAUCAACGUUUUGGUCACCAUAGCAAGCAUGUAUUAAAAUGUAUUUUGUCUUCACUGUCACUUAACUGCCCUGUUACUAUGCCUGAUUUUUGUGAUGCAUGUCAAUAUGGAAAAAUGCAUCAGCUUCCUUUUUACUCAACAAGCAUCGAAACCAAAGCUCCCCUAGAACUUAUCCAUACUGGUUUUUGGGGUCCAACACCAUUACCUUCCUCAAAUGGUUAUAGAUACUAUAUAAGUUUUGUGGAUGACUACAACAGAUACUGUUGGAUAUUCCCCUUAACUCUAAAAUCAGAAGCUCUAGACACCUUCAAAUUCUUCAAAACCUUAGUUGAAAAACAAAUUGGGUGUUCUGUCAAAGCUUUACAAUCAGAUUGGGGGGAGAAUACAGGAGUUUUCAACAUUUUCUUGAACAAGAAGGGGUAGUUUUUAGGCAUAGCUUUCCUCACACACAUCAUCAAAAUGGUGUGGUAGAGAGGAAGCAUAGACACAUUGUGGAAACAGGGCUGACCUUACUUGCUCAAGCCAAAAUACCCUUAUCCUUCUGGUGGGAGUCAUUUCAUACUGCUUAUUUUCUUAUAAAUCGAAUGCCAACACCUAUUUUAAAUAAUCUGUCACCUUUUACCAAACUCUAUGGUAGAAAACCUGAUUAUCAUUUCCUUAGAACUUUUGGUUGCCCAUGCUACCCUUUUCUCAGGCCUUACAGUAAGCACAAAUUCAAUUUUCAUACACAAAAAUGUGUUAUGAUUGGUUACAGUCCCAUACAUAAGGGGUAUAAGUGUCUUGACUCCUCUGGGAAGAUUUAUGUUGCUAGACAUGUGACAUUUAAUGAAUCUAAGUUUCCAUACUCAGAACUUUUUCCUUUCUAUAAGCCAAAUCAUAAAAUACAGAUAAGUCAGUUUCUUUCUACAAAUAUUUCUCUUCCAGCAGUCAUUGAAGAUAUAAGCAGCACACAAUCCUCUCUCAGCUCUCCAACUCCAGAUGCCGCUCCUAAUUCUGGUCAUUCUGAAACACAAUCUAUGCAACAAUCUCCAAACACUUCAUCACAAAGUUCAUUCUCAUAGCCAUUAUCUACUAAUCAUUCUACUCAGCCACAAACACAGCUUCAAACACAACCUUUAUCAACACAUGUCAUCCAAAAUACCCAUUCCAUGGUAACUAGAUCAAAAGCUGGAGUGUUUAAACCCAAAACAUACCUAGCAGCAGUCCAAGAGCUUGAGCCACAUUCUGUAAAAACUGCUUUAGCAGAUCCUAAGUGGAGACAAGAUAUGCAAGAUGAAUAUGAAGCCUUGCAGAAAAAUGAAACCUAGGUUCUGGUUCCCAAAGAGUCAGGAGGGAAGAUUGUUGGCAACAAAUGGGUAUUCAGAGUAAAGUAUAAUCCUGAUGGCAGCAUAUCCAAGUAUAAAGCAAGACUAGUUGCAAAGGGGUUCCAUCAAACACAAGGUGUAGAUUUCUUUGAAACCUUUAGCCUAGUUGUUAAGCAAUGCAUUAUUCUUAGCCUUGCUGUUAUGCAUAACUGGACAGUAAGGCAGCUAGAUGUUAAUAAUGCAUUUCUUCAUGGCAUACUUACUGAAAAUGUCUUCAUGCAUCAACCUGAGGGUUUUGUUCAUCCUCAGUUUCCAUCACAUGUAUGUCAACUUACCAAGGCACUUUAUGGACUUACGCAAGCACCAAGGGCCUGGUAUGAUAUAUUGAAAUCAUCCUUACUGUAGUGGGGGUUUAUUGCUUCUAAAUCUAACACCUCAUUGUUCAUUCAUCAUGUGGCAGAAGACAUUAUUGUAAUACUUAUCUAUGUGGGUGAUAUCUUGAUAACUGGUUCUAGCUCUAAGCUUGUAGAAGGAGUUAUAAAUAAAUUGGGUACAGAAUUUGCUUUAAAGGAUCUUGGAGAGUUUAAUUACUUCCUUGGUCUUGAAGUUACCCCAUCUGUUGAAGGGCUGCAUCUCUCAUAGACUAAGUAUAUAGGAGAUUUAUUGAAGAAAGCUUAGAUGUUAGAUUGCAAAGGGUGUCAAACUCCUAUGAGCUCAACAGAGAAGCUGAUUAAGGACAAAGGAGCUGUGUUUGAAAAUCCCUCACUUUACAGAAGCUUGGUUGGUUCUCUGCAAUAUGUUACUUUAACAAGGCCAUAGAUUGCAUUUACAGUGAACAAGCUCAGUCAAUUUCUUGCUUAUCCAUCAAUCUUUCACUGGCAGGCUUGCAAAAGAGUGCUGAGAUACUUACAAAGUACAGCAAACUAUGGCUUGCAGUUCUAUAAUUCUGGAUCUCUUAAUCUCACAGCUUUCUCAGAUGCAGAUUGGGGUUCAGAUUUAAAUGAUAGAAGAUCAGUGGGAGGCUAUUGUGUUUACUUGGGAAAUAGUUUGAUUUCAUGGUCUUCAAAGAAGCAACACAUAGUGUCCAGGAGCACUGCUGAAUCUGAGUAUAGAGCUUUAGCUCUAGCUGCAGCAGAGGUGCUAUGGAUUACUUACUUACUUAAAGAAUUAAAGGUGUCAUUGUAGCAAACUCCAGUUCUCCAGUGUGAUAACAAAAGUGCUGAAGCAUUAGCCAGCAAUCCAAAGUAUCAUUCCAGGACUAAACACAUUGAACUUUAUCUUCAUUUCAUUAGAGAACAUAUAGCCAAAAAAGAACUUCAAGUUAGCCAUGUUCCCAGCCAUGAACAAGUUGCCGAUAUACUUACAAAACCCUUGGCUUAUGAUCAAUUCAAUUAUCUGCGUUCCAAGCUCAAUGUUCUUCCCAGACCUUGAGCUUGAAGGGGGCUAUUAAGAUAUUUGAAUUGAUUAAUUACAUUUAGCUUUUUGUUUUAGUUAGUUAAGUGAAUUUGUUACUAGUGCUGAUGUGGCAGUCCAGUCAGCUAAAUCUGUUAUGAUCGUUAGCUUAAACAAACACAUUACUCACAUGCAGAGUAAAGAAUAUUCCAUACAGCCUUUUGUAUAAAUGCUUGUAAUUCAGCUCAUUUGAGCUUUAGAUAAAUACAACAUUCUCUCUCUGUUUUCUCAUUCAUUUUCUCUGCAACCAAACAACUCUUUUAUCUUUACAAAGUCUCUUUAAUUUGUCUCCAACAUUUUGAUAACUUAAACAAAGUAUGUAUAUUUGAUGACAAAAAAAGAAGGGCAUUGGAAAAGCCAACCCCAAAAUAUUUAGUCUUUCCGCUCUUUCUCUGGCAUAAUUUUCGGGGAGACAAAAUGCCCAGCAAACAAGUUAAUUUGAUCCGUUAGGAUCGAAAGAAACGUUAAUUAGUCAAUUCGUCCAUUAAUCUUGGUCACAAAUGUUUAUUCUAUUUUCUGGGACGACUUUCCAUGGACUUUAAUUGUAGUUCGAAGGAGAAUGGCUGUCAAUACAAAGAUUUUUUUAACAGAACCGCAUGCAACAAGUGAACCUUUUGUUUGGAUAAUUUUAAUAUCCUAGAUGUCUUUGAAACUUUUGCCUUAAGGAAUAGGGGAAAACUCUUCCCUACUUGAUCAGGCUUUGAAUCAUACGCCUCUCAAACACUCCACACGUUCAAAAUACAAAAGGUAUAUGAGGAGGAAACGAUAGGAGAGCAAGGCAAAAAAAAAAAAAAAAAAAAAAAAAAAAACUAAUUCAAAACAAAGUCAAUAACUAUACAAGAAUUCCACAUCUUUGCUAACUUAAGCAUCGGAGUGGAAUUCGGAAAUCUCAUUUUCUAAUUGUCCCAUUUCACAUUUUGGGUUAUUAUGUGUGGAAAUGACUUCCAUCUACCGCACUUGGUUCAGUUCACAUAGAAAAGAAAUAAGUAUUAACAAUCACAUGCAUUUUUUAUUAUAUUUCCGAUAUGACUUUUCAUGUCCUUGCAUUAUAUAAAUUAAAAAAAAAGGAGAAAGAGAGAGAGAAUUGAAGAAUCUUCCCGGAAAAACAUUAACGUCAAUUCAAUCCCAGAAAUUAUGCAAUUCACGGUAAGCAAUUCACGGAAAAACAUAAACGAUAUGACUUUUCAUGUCCUUGCAUUAUGUUGAGUUUUAUUACAGUCUCUGAUUCAUACAUAUAAAGCAUUUAGUGACAGAAUAAAUUCAAAGAAUUAGACUGUAAUUUUUUAUAAAAAUUAAUUCGGUUCUCUUUUUGGUGGUACAAGGAUCAUUGACAAUAACUUAUCUUGGGACCAUACCUUUUUAUCCUGAGCCACACUCUUACAAGGUAAAAUCAAUAGUUUUUAUAUCAUGAGUGACAUAGAAUUUGCUUCCCAACUUUUUACAUAUAUUAUUAAUUUAAAGAGAACUUUACAUGGAGUGAUUUAAUUCAUAUAAAACUGAGCUAAUAUACUUUCUUUCUUUUUUUUGCUAAAAUAUUUUUAGUAAUGACGUCUGAACUAACGAAAAUUUUCACUUACAUAUUCGAGUUCCAACAUAGUAUGCCAGUGAAAAAAAUGAAACGUCAUCUUACUGUUUAUUUGAUGAAAACCAAAUGUUCAAAGUGACUUGAUUUACAAGAACCCGAUUAGCGAGCCUAUGCUUUGCGUAGGUAGCCUCAGUAGCCCUGCGUUGUAAUAAUUAAUAGAAGCAUCAAAAAUAAAAUUUGUUUUGAUGUAACAAAGAUUUGUAAUUACUAAAUUCAGCAUUUCAGUUCGUUAUGGUGAAGUUUCUGAGUUUCUUAAUCAAGUAAAAUAGCAUCCUUUAUUAGACGAGUCAAGUAUAAAAUUAAGGUGCUGAUGGGCAGAUGCCAAAGCAGAGUGAUUUGAGAUUAUCACACCAGUGAUCUUUGCUAGCUCUGAGUGCAAAGAUAAUGUUUGUAAUCUUGUUAAUACUCUGUAUAAAUAAUACUCUCUUCUGAAAUCCGUUGAUCAUAUUUGUCUUUCACCUUGCAGAACUUGCUCACACAAUGAAGAUUACUGCAUAUUUGUCAUUUCUUUUUUCCAAGGAAAUUAUUAUGACAGUAUUGAGAUUUGAAAUGAUUGUUUGCAAAUUUUAUAGUUUAAAAUUAAGUAUGGAUUUAUUAUCAUAGUAUGUUUAUUCUUUGCUUUAUGCUUAAUUCAUCUUGACUUGCUUACAGAUAAGUAAAUUAAUUUGAAAAUUAAGCUCGAAGUGUUGUAUCCAUUCUUCCAAUAUUAAUUACAAGCAUUCAAUAGGAUGCAACUGUUACAAGGUGCAAAUCAAAAUUAUGGUAACAAUGUUAGUAAAUUGGAAAGCUAGCUAGUCUCUACAAAUUCAAUAUAGUCUUGUCUAUUAAAUUGGUGGAUACGAAGGUGAAUAGAAAUUAUAAUUCAACAUUUAAAGUCUUUCUGUCUCACUCAUUUUAAUAUCUUAACAAUGUACAUUUGAUGACAAAAAAGAAGGGUAUAGAUAAGCCAACCCCAAAAUAUUUUGAAUUUCCAUUCUCUCUCUGCCGUAAUUUUCGGGGAAGCAAAUGCCCAGUGAACAAAAGUUUGAUCAAUCAAUGAUUGGAUCCAAAGAUACGUUAAUUAGUCAAGUCUUUCCAUUAAUUUUGAUCACAAAUGCUUAUCCUAUUUUGUGGGACGACUUGCCAUGGACUUUAAUUGUAGUUGGAAGGGGAGUGGCUAUCAAUACAAAGAUUAUUUUGACGGAGUCAGAAUUGCAUGCAACAAGUGAACGUUUUGUUUGGGCAAUUUUAAAAUCGUAGAUGUCUUUUAAGACUUUUGCCUUAAGCAACGGGGAAAACUCUUCCCUACUUGAUCAGGCAUCGACUCAUACACCUCUCAAUUGCUAGUCUGGAUUCUAUAUAAUUUUGGCUCGCGUGGAAAAAGCUACUCGUGGAUUCCACCUAAUAACUCCAAUGAUUUUUCCUGAACUUAAAACCAUAAUCUUUAGCCUUUAACCAUUUAGACUUUGGGCACGGACGAACGGUGUGUUAUGUAGUUCAUAGUUGAAGUGAAUGACGAUGAUGAUGAUGUGGUGUGUGUGCGUGUUUAGAAAUGUACCUUUAAGUAGCGUUUGUUUUUAAGAAAGAGGAGGAGACGAGGGGUAAAAAAUGGAGAGGAGUGGAGAGGUAAUGAGAGGAUAGGAGUGCAAAAAUUGAUAUUUAUUGUUUGGUAUCAAAAAAAAAAUAAAAGGGAAAGGAAUUACAUGUUUUUUUUAAUUUGGACAAGUAUAGCCAUUGGAAUUUAGUGUUAAAAUGUUAAUAUUAGCAGUAAAUAUAAUAAAAAUAAUUAAACUAUAAGUUAAAUUAAUCUAUAAUAUAAACUAAUAAGAAAACAUUUGAGUUUAUAUUAUAUUUUUAAUUCAUUCAUUAUUAUUUUAUAAUCAAAAUAACUAACCAACAAGUAGUGGAUGGACGACUACAAGUCGUAUAUCGACGUAGAAGAACAUGACAUACGGCUCAAACGGUGAUUGAUUUACUGAACUGCAACCAAAGGAACCAUUUUUUGGAUAAUUUCAGAGCAAUAGUAUUCAGACUACUAUGUAAAAAACAUUCUAAUCUUGGAAAACUUUUCCACCUUAUGAAACAUUGGAAAAAUCUUCCCAACUUGACGCAUCGACUUGUUGACCUCUCAAUUGCUCUUGUGUGUGGCUUCUAUAAAUUUGGCGUCCAACGUGCUCGUUUUCUGCACCGUUGUAUGUUUUCCAAAAGCUAAGAGUCAUCAAAAGAUCUUUUGAAUUUCAAUAAAACUUCGGUUUAACUUUAUUUAUUUGAUUGUGUUUUUGGAAUAUCAAUGGGGUCACCAACCCUCAAUACAGUUGUUUCACUUGUUUUGUUGAUCCUAUUUUUUGUGUUAAGUUUCUUAAUAACUGUUUCUUCAGAAUCUAAUGAAGAAGCCGAUGCUCUUCUCAAAUGGAAAGCCAGCCUUCAAAUCCAUAACCGAUCUCUCCUUUCUUCUUGGAUUAAGGAUACCUCCAAUGUUUCAUCCAAAAUAAGCCCAUGUGCUUGGUCCGGAAUCAGUUGCAAUGAUGCCGGAAGAGUCAUCAAGAUCAGCCUCCCAGGUGUCGGAUUAAAAGGUAAGCUUCACGAUUUCUCAUUCUCAUCGUUUCCUCAUCUUGCUUAUCUUGAUCUCAGUAGGAGUGGACUCUUUGGUACUAUCCCGCCUCAAAUUAGCAACCUUACGAAUCUUAGCAACCUUUAUUUAACAUCCAAUCAAUUGUCAGGAAAUAUUCCGCCAGAGGUUGGUCUUCUGAGUCAUUUGAAGUUCCUUUACGUUGAUUCGAACCAAUUAGAUGGCUCAAUUCCACCAGAAGUAGGUCAAUUAAGUUCUCUGGUGGAGCUUUUCUUGUUCUCUAACAACUUGAACGGUUCAGUUCCUCCUUUAGGUAAUUUGACACACAUCUCUUUGUUGUACAUUCGUGAAAAUUCAUUUUCUGGUUUUAUUCCUCCAGACAUUGGAAACUUGAAAUCUAUGUACAUCCUAGAUUUGAGCAGAAAUCAAUUUAGUGGUCCAAUCCCUGUUUCUUUCGGUAAUUUGACCAACCUAAAAAACCUAGACCUCCUUGAUAACAACCUAUCCGGUUCCAUUCCACCCUCCCUCGACAAUCCUCUUUUAACUAUGCUAGGAUUGGAUUUCAAUCAUUUUACAAGUUAUUUACCGCAGAAUAUUUGUCGAGGUGGAGCAUUACAGUAUUUUACUGUUUCUGAAAACCAUUUUCAAGGAACAAUCCCUAAAAGCUUGAGAAAUUGCACAAGCUUAAUCCGAGUACGCCUUAAUGGAAACAACCUUACUGGAAAUAUAUCAGAAGCUUUGGGCAUUUAUCCUAACCUGACUUUCAUAGAUCUCAGCCGCAAUAAUUUUUACGGUGAAAUCUCAUCUAAUUGGGGGAAAUGCCCAAAAUUAGGCACUCUCAAUGUUUCGAUGAAUAACAUUACUGGAGGUAUACCGCGCGAGAUCGGAAACAUGUCUCAACUACAAGCACUCGAUCUUUCAUUGAAUCAUAUAGUUGGGGAGAUUCCAAAGGAACUUGGAAAGUUAAAUUCACUAACCAAGCUCAUUUUGAGAGGGAAUCAACUGACAGGGCGUCUACCUACAGAAAUCGGCUCACUCAUUGAACUUGAAUACCUCGACUUUUCUGCUAAUAGGUUCAACAAUUCAGUCCCAGAAAUUCUCGGCAACUUGCUGAAAUUGCACUACUUGGGCUUAAGCAACAACCAGUUUGUCCAAGAAUUGCCAAAGGAAUUGGAGAAGCUAGUUCAACUUUCAGAAUUAGAUGCAAGUCAUAACCAUUUUGGAGGAGAGAUACCAUUUCAAAUAUGCAGUUUGAAAAGCUUGGAAAAGCUGAAUCUCUCCCACAAUAAUCUCUUUGGUUCGAUUCCAAAUUGCUUUGAGGGAAUGCGGGGUCUAUCAGUCAUUGACAUUUCUGAUAAUCAAUUACAAGGCCCAGUUCCAAAUAGCACAGCAUUUCGGAAUGCCUCAGUGGAAGCGUUAGAGGGGAAUAAGGGAUUGUGUGGAGGUGUGAAAGGAAUGCAACCAUGCAAAGUUUUCUCGUCACACAAUCAAAAUUCUGGAGUCAAGUGGUUUGCAAUAAUGUUCCCUGUUUUAGGAGCACUAUUUGUUUCAAUGGCGUUGAUAGCAAUUUUCAUUCUUCAAAAGCGGAAAUCAGACACAGGAGAUCGACAGAGUAGCAACCAGAACCCUCAGGGAUUGCUUUCUAUAUUAAAUUUUGAAGGCAAACUUUUGUACGAUGAAAUUGUUAGAGCAACAAAUGAUUUUGAUGCAGAGUAUUGCAUUGGAAAUGGUGGACACGGAAGUGUUUACAGAGCUGAACUACCAUCUGGGGAAGUCGUAGCUGUUAAGAAAUUUCACUCACCACUCCCAUGCAAUCAGAUUGCAGAUCAAAAAGAAUUAUGGACCGAAGUUGAGGCCUUGACAGAGAUACGACAUCGAAACAUUGUGAAGUUUUAUGGAUUUUGCUCACAUGCCCGACACUGUUUUUUGGUCUAUGAAUUUCUUGAAAGGGGUAGCUUGGCUGCGAUCUUGAGCAUUGAUGCAGCAGCACAAGAACUGGGUUGGAGUCAGAGAAUGAAUGGGAUCAAAGGCGUAGCUGAUGCUUUGUCUUACUUGCACCAUGACUGCCUUCCUCCGAUUGUCCAUCGGGACAUAUCAAGUAAGAACUUGUUGCUGGAUUUGGAAUAUGAAGCUCAUGUUGCAGACUUUGGAAUAGCUUUUACAAGUCUAUUUAGUAUUUGUUUGUUGCCAUUUUGAGGAGUCUGCGGUAACAGAACAAUGUAACUAGAUAUUGUUGAAACAAUUAUGUAGUACAUUCAGUAGACUUGUAAAAGCUUACUAGUUUAUGCACAUUUAUCUGAGAAACAGAGUAAACAUUUUUUUUUUUGGGUCCUUGACCUUGCAGAGCUUGCUUACACAAUGAAGAUCACAGAGAAAUGCGAUGUGUACAGUUUUGGAGUGUUAGUGUUGGAAGUAAUCAAAGGGAAGCAUCCAAGAGAUUUUCUGUCUUCGAUUUCAUAUUCAUCUCUCAGCACGGAUAUAAAACUUGAUGAAAUGUUGGACCCGCGUCUUCCAGCUCCAUCACGCAGUGUUCAAGAAAAAUUGAUACCAAUCGUAGAGGUUGCGUUUUCAUGCUUAAAUGAGAAUCCGGAGUCUAGACCAACUAUGAAGAUAGUCAGUCAACAAUUGCGGAUUUCAGCUGCCUUGACUGAGUCUUAAUUUUCUAAGUACACUUCUAAUUUGCUUGGUUUUCUUUUUUCAUGUACUCUAGUUUGUUUGAUCUAGUUUUCAAGAAUCAGGAGGCGUUGGUUAUUUCGUCAUGCAUAUAUACUUGGUAUAUGGUGUACUCUUUCAUUUAUAAAUAAAAUAAAGUUUGCUCAUUCCUUAGAGGUUUAGUUAAAAGAACGUAUGGGGCAGCGGUGAGCAUAUUUGAGGACAUGUGGAGUCGGUACAAUGAAGACCAAGAUUUAGUAAGACAGUUUGUAAUAAUUAAAAAUAAUAAUUUCUCGCGACAUGUAUGAACCCCUCAAAUGUAAACUUGAAAGUGUGUACCACUGUAUUAAUUAAUGGGUGGCUCUAACUUAUUGAUAAUAUUAAAUUAAAUUUUAAAAGAAAGGAAUAGACUGGGGAAAAAAUUAAAAAUUGAGGAUAAUUUACAAUGUAUCCUUGUGAUUUAACCGAAAAUCAAAUAAACAGAUAAUAAUUAGUAUUUUUUUUUUUUUUUGGGAAUGAUUUAAUUUACACUUGAUUCUUAUACCGACCUCUACCAAGUUAAUCUUUUUUCAGGAUGUUUAAUUUUGUUAUGUCAAAGUUAGUUGAUGUCCUAUAUUUGAUCAAUGUGGAUGGCUGAUCAAAAUUAAAGAAUCCUUGAACGAGAUUGAGGGCUUGACAGAGAUACGACAUCAGAGUAUUGUAAAACAUGACCUGACAUUCAAUUUUAGUUUAUGAAUUUCUUGAAAGGGGUAGCUUGGCCAUAAUCUUGAGCAACAAUGCAGCCACAUAAGAGUUAAGCGGGCUGGAGUCAGAAUGAGUGGGAAAAAAGGCGUUGCCGAUGCCUUAUAAUAUUCGUUUGUUGCCAUUUUGAGGAAACAUUUUUCUUUUUUAGCAAACAUUUUUCUCUCUCUUUUUAUUUGUCCUUGACCUUGCAGAGCUUGCUUACACAAUCAAGAUCCCAGAAAAAUACGACGUGUACAGUUUUGGAGUGUUAGUAUUGGAAGUGAUCAAGGGAAAGCAUCCAGAGAUCAGAUGUUCUUUCCACAGUUUCAGCUUCAUCUUCCAAUGCCCCUUGAUGAAAUGUUGGAUCCUCGGCUUCCACCCGAUCCAUUGUUCGAUGUUCAGAGGAAGUUAGUAUCAAUCACGAAGGUUGCCUUCUCUUACUUAAAUGGGAAUCCAGAAUCCAGAUUGAUCAUUAUUAUUGUUCGAGUUUCAAAUAUUUGCCUUCAUUUCUCAUUGUUGCACAAGUAAAUUAUACGUAUCAUGCUUAUGCAGGCCUUAUUUCGGAACAAAAGAAUGUUAAUAGAAGAAUUGUGCAACUAGAGGAGGAUGUACUUCAUAAUUAAUUAGUCUGCUUUCAACACAAAAUAUAAAAUUUAGUUGACAGAUGGCCACAAAAGACUAGCUUCGUUUUUGCUAAAAAAGAAAUAAAAUCUGCUUCUAUGACCUCUGUAAACCAACUGCUUCAAUGCCCCCAGUUUCAAAACUAUCAUCGAUACAGAGCCAUUGGACCUGGGCUACAUAUUCAACUUUUCAGAGUUCCAUUUCUAGCGAGAAGCUUUUGAGAGCAUGGACACACUUGACGCUAGAUAACCCUCGCGAGAUAUGUCCCAAAAUCUCCUCAGGACCUCAGCCAUAAUUUUGCCGCAAAAGCCGAUAGAAUUAAUGAUCCUUAUUAAUUAUGAAUUAAAUCCUCCUUUGGCUGCACAAUUUUGGAUAAAAAAUUUGGACCAGUUUCGGUGUUUGGUUGAGCUUAUGUUGACUGUUAGGCACUAAAUCCAUAGUCAAUAUUUAUCCGACAUGAGUUUCACAUGGAUCUCAAUGAACUCUUGACCAUAGAUUCUGUACCCAACACAAUAUGCUUAUGAUUUAAAAAUAAAAUAAAUCAUGUAAAUACUUUGUAUCAAUACUUAAUGCAUCGACAAUCGUUUUCUUUGUGUACGGACUUGUCGAUAAAAAAAAGUUUAAUUGUUUCUUUGUUUACAUCUGCUUAAUCUGAUUAGGAUGAAACGAAAUUAAUUGUUUCUUUGUUUUAAAAAAAAUGAAUAACUAUAAUUUCUUGAAUAUUUGAUGAAUUAACAAAAGAAUUGUGAAUGAAGUUUUGUUUGGUAUAAAGGUAUUGUAAUCUUUAAAUCACAAUUAUUAAGAAAAAUAGAGCAAUAACAAAAAAAUAAAAGUUGAUAAUAUAUAAUAAACAUAAAUUUUAAAUAAUAGUUUUAAUAAAAAUAAUAAAAAUAUUAUAAGUUUUCUAUCAUUAAAAGCAAAUUAUUUUAGUUUUCAAGUCACAAUUAUGAUAGUUACAAAUUUUUAUAUAAAUUAAUGUGGUAUAAAUUUAUUAGUAAGUUAAAAAUAUAAAAUAAUAAAAAUAAAUUAUGUGAGAUAACUAAUAUUUAAUCUAAUUAAUUUAAUUAUGUCAUGUUAAUAUGUAUAAAAUAAAUUUAUAUAAAAAAAUUGUAAUUAGGUUAUUGCUCUUGACUCUUGUAAACACUUGCUUAAUAGCCGCCCCAUUUUCUUUCACUCCUAUCCAUUGUCCACGCGUCCGACCAUGAUUGCUUCUCCGGUUCUAAUCACAAGAUUUUCGUCAAAUGGGCGAACGAGAUGGGCCCUAUCUCUGCGCAGACCACACCGUCUAUUCUCUCAGUGAAAAGAAAAUAAAACUAUUUAAAAUCUCUAAAUAUAAAUUGAAUUCAACUCUUUUUUUUAUCUUUCAUUUAUAAAUAGUAAAUUAAAAAAUCAAAAGAAUUCAACUGAAUAUUCCUUUUGAAAAAUUAUACGGUAGCGAACUUCCUUGCAUGAAUAUGAUCUUAAUUCAAUUUAUUAAACAUACUUAUAUGGGGUUCAACUAUGUUGCAACAGUUAUAAAGUAUCUCACUUAGGGAUGGCAAAAUCCUCCACGGGUUUGGGGCCCCAUGGAGCCUCACCCCAAAUGGAAAAAAUUUUGAAUAAUUUUUUAGGAAUGGGGUGGGGAGUGGGGAAAAAUAAUCCCCAAAUUCUUAAUGGGGUGGGGUUUGGUUUUGUACUCCCCACCCCCACCCCAAUCCCCAUUAUAUAUAAAUAUGUUUUUAAUUUUUAUUUAAUAAUUUUUAUUUUAUCAAUUAUAAUGUCAAUUAAUAAUUUUUUUUAAUUUUUAUGCAAUAUAAACAAGAUAUGAAUGAAAGAAAAUCCUAUAAUAUUUUUCAACUCUGAAACAUUGUUAUAUUUUCUUUUCUCUUUUAAGGUGCUACGCUCUUUAAAUAUUUUUCAUUUUUAAUAUCAUUUUAAGAUAUUGUUUCAAACUUUUAGAUUUUUUUUUAAAAGAAUUUAAAUACUUUAUAAUAUGAUGAUGAUUUUAUUUAAUUUUUAACUUACUAAAAUAAUAUAUUUAUACAUAUUAUAAAAUAGAUAGAUGGAGAAUGGAGUGGGGAUGGGGAAAUCAUUCCCCACAUGAGAAUUCUCCAUCCCCACCCCACUAAAUUUAUUGGGGAAUGGGGUGGGGAAUGGAGGCAAAAAUUUCUAACGGGGUGGGGAAUGGGGUAGGCCUCCCCACCCCCACCCCACCCCAUUGCCAUCCCUAAUCUCAUUUUUUGUCUUUUGUGAUUUAACUGACGUCAAAUUUAACAGAACACCUUUUACUCCAUUUUAUAUUUACAUACAUUAUUAAAAUUUUAUUUAGCACCUUACACUCUUUUUAUUUAUUAUUUUUAUAAAUAUUAAAGUACUUAUUUGUUUACAUCCAAUACUAGUAUUGAUGGAAAGACAACAAUACCCCUAAAUUUAUAAAUUAAAAAUAAAAUUUUAAAAUUUUUUGCUUGUUCCUCUCACCUUCAUCUCCAUCAUCAUCAGUCAGUAACGAUUAAAAAAGAAAGAGAAAAUGUACCACAAAAAAAAAGAGAAAAAAAAAUCUCAAAGACUCACCCAUCACCCAUCACCUUUAUUCUCUCAAUGGUUCAUGAACAAUACAACAAUACCAAUAAAACAUAAGAACACGACUCUGACUCUUUUGAUUCUUGUUUCACCAACACAGCAAAUUCCGAGUUUAAAAGGCUUCAUUCAUAUUCUUUCAAAACUUGACAUUUCAUCAUGGUAUGGUUUAAGUUAAAAGAGUUUAUUGUUAGUUUCUACAAACUCCUUAAAGUGAUUACAUUUGACUGAUAUCUUACAUGGGGCUUCUUCUCCUUGAUGUUGAUAACUUACAUAUAAAAUAUUCUCUUCGUGUUGGGUACAAAACAAAACCAGUGCAGCCAUCACAACUUCCAAAGGCUUUACUUCUUUAUACCAAACAUUCCAAACUAUCAUAAUUGUGAAGAUAUGUGUAUAUGGACUUAAAUGAAGAAACUGGAAAAGUAGAGAGCUGUUGUGCAGAUUGACUUCAGUUGAUGGGGUCUAUUUGAUAUCUUCCGCUGACGUGGCAUGAAUUCGUUAGAAUCUGUUAUAACGAAGCCCAGCACACUGAUAUAAAACAGAGGCUGACGAAUGGUGCCUCAUACUGUGCUAAUAUCGUCUUCAUUUGUUCAUCAUUUUGCAUAGAAUCUGUUUCAUUGUGAUCUGUGCAUAAUCUUCUGUAAAUCACCUGUGAUUGGGUUAGUUCUUGAUCAAUAAUAAUGAGUAAAUUUUCCUUCUAAGUUUGCUGGUCUAUGUCUUUUGUUUUGUCUCUGGUUUAGCUUCUUUGUUCUGGCUUUUCUUGAUUCGAUUGUGUUCUUGGUGUUUCUACUCACCAAGAUUCGUGAGUCUUGCUGUGGUUUAGACUUAAAAUCUUAACAAGUGGUAUCAGAGCCUGGUGAAUUUCAGCCAUGUCUCUUCCAAGGCAUGAAAUCGAAAAAUUCACCAUUGGUGGUGAUUUCUCGCUUUGGAAGCUGAAAAUGAAAGCUCUCCUUGUGCAUCAAGGGCUUGAAUCUGCCCUGGACGAAGAAGAUCCAGAGGCCUCUACAGGUUCUGGGAUUGAUGACAAAAGGAGACAAAUACAGAAUCGAGCUCAUAGCACUCUGAUUUUGAGUCUUGGUGACUCAAUCUUGAGAGAGAUCUCUGAAGAGAAGACAGCCUUAGGAAUUUGGAACAAGGUUGAAACCCUGUGUAUGAAGAAAUCCCUGGCUCAUAGAUUGUUCUUGAAGAAAAGGUUGUACACAUUCUCAAUGAGAGAAGGGGUUACAAUACAAGAUCACAUUGACACUUUUAACAAGAUCAUUCUUGAUCUUGAAGGGGUGGAAAAUGUAAAAAUCUGUGAUGAAGACAAGGCAUUCUUCCUGCUGAGCUCUCUACCAAAGUCUUAUGAAGGCUUUGUAGAUACAAUGCUCUAUGGGAGGACCACUUUGACUCUUGAAGAUGUCAAAGCAUCCCUCAGCUCAAAGGAGAUUCAGAAGAACUGUGAGCUUGAAACAAGUAAUGGUGAGGGGCUGAUGGCAAGAACAGAAAAGAAGAAAGAUCAGAAGAACAAAAAUCAAGGAAAAGGGCAUGGAAAGAACCAAGAAACUGCAGACAAGAAGAAAAAGAAAAGAAAGUGCUUCUACUGCAGAAAGGAGGGGCAUUACAUAAGGGAUUGCUUUGAGAAGAAGAAGAAAGAAAGUCAAGAAAAGUCAGGGGAUGCAGCAGUAGCCUCUGAUGAUGGUUCUGAUGGAUAUCAAAGUGCUGAUUUACUUGUGGCCUCAAACAGCAAUACAAAAGGUCAGUGGGUCAUAGACUCUGGGUGCUCUUUUCAUUUAUGUCCUGAAAAAACCCUAUUUUACAAAUAUGAAGCUGUUGAUGGUGGUAGAGUCUUAAUGGGAAACAAUAAUGUGUGUAAUAUUGUUGGUAUUGGUUCUGUAAAGAUCAAGAUGUUUGAUGGAACUAUAAGAUCUCUACAUGAGGUGAGGCAUGCUCCUAGGCUAAAGAGAAAUUUAAUCUCUUUAGGCAUGCUAGACAGCUUAGGGUACUUCUUUAAAUCAAGAACUGGUGGUUUAGAGAUAAGAAAGGGGACUGAGAUAGUAAUGAAGGGGGUUAAAGAGAAUGGCCUAUAUGUAUUGCAAGGCUCAUCAGUGCCUGUUCAAGAGGGAGUUUCUGCUGUUUCUGAGGAAGAUAGAACCAAGUUAUGGCACCUUAGGCUUGGUCAUAUGAGUAUCAAGGGGCUGCAAGAGCUUAGUAAACAAGGGCUACUUGGUGGGGAUAGAAUCCAGCAACUGGAGUUUUGUGAAAACUGUAUUUUUGGCAAAACACACAGGUCCAAGUUUAACAAAGGGGAGCAUAUGUCUAAACAAGUUUUGGACUAUGCACAUACUGACCUUUGGGGGCCUGCUCAGGUCCCUUCCUUGAGUGGUGGCAGAUAUUUCAUGUCACUUAUUGAUGAUUACUCAAGGAAGGUAUGGAUCUACAUACUCAAGACCAAAGAUCAAGCUUUGGAAAAAUUCAAGGUCUGGAAAUCAUUGGUAGAAAAUCAGUCUGGCUUCAAGCUGAAAUGCUUGAGGACUGAUAAUGGCUUGGAAUUUUGUAGCAAAGUAUUUGAAGAAUAUUGCCAAAAACAUGGCAUAAAGAGGCACAAAACAGUGAGGUUCACCCCCCAGCAGAAUGGCUUGGCUGAAAGGAUGAACAGGACCUUGGUGGAUAAAACCAGAUGUAUGCUGAUAAAUUCAAAGCUUCCAAGGAGUUUUUGGGCAGAAGCUGUCAAUACAACAAGUUAUUUAGUUAACAGAAGCCCAUCUUCUGCAAUUGGCUUCAAAACACCAGAAGAAUUGUGGAAUGGAAAACCAGCAAACUACCAAAAUCUCAGAGUUUUUGGGUGCCCUGCUUACCUCCACAUCAAUCAAGGCAAGCUGGAAGCAAGGGCCUUGAAAGGAGUCUUUGUUGGAUAUCCUGAUGGGGUUAAGGGGUACAAAAUCUGGUGUAAGGAUCAAGGGAAAUGCAUAGUCAGCAGGGAUGUUGUGUUUCAUGAAUCUGUAUUGCUGAAAGAAAGUGCAGAACAUGAUGCUGGACUGCAAGACAAUCCAGCAGCUAACAAACAAUCUGGAUCUAAAACUUCCAAGGUUAAGGUGGAGCUAUUGACUGAUAAAAGCAGUGAAAAAGAAGCAGCUUCUGAUGAUGAGAGGGCCACAGCUGAAAGUGAGGAACAUGAGGUAUCAGAAUUGCCAUAAGCUGACUUACAUAACUAUCAGUUAGCUAGAGAUAGAGUUAGAAGGGAAGUCAGAGCACCAGCGAGGUAUGGCUAUGCUGACUUAAUUGCCUAUGCACUAUUGUGUGUUGAUGAAGUGACAAUUGAAGAGCCUGCUAACUUCUCUAAAGCCAUGGAAAGUGUGCACUGUGACAAGUGGCUUGAGGCAAUGCAAGAUGAAAUGGAGUCACUUCAAAGAAAUCAGACCUGGACACUUAUACCAAAUCCAGGAAACAAGAGGUUGAUCAGCUGUAAGUGGAUUUUCAAGAGGAAUGAAGGAAUUCCAGAUGUUGAACCUCCCAAAUAUAAAGCAAGGCUAGUGGCUAGGGGUUUUACACAGAGGGAAGGUGUAGAUUUCAAUGAAAUUUUUUCUCCUGUAGUGAAGCACAGUUCAAUAAGAAUCUUAUUAGCCAUGGUAGCUUUACUUGACUUAGAGCUGGAGCAGAUGGAUGUAAAAACAGCCUUCCUUCAUGGUAAUCUUGAAGAACAAAUAUUGAUGGCACAGCCUGAAGGAUUUGAGUGUAAAGGAAAGGAGGAUUAUGUUUGUUUGCUGCAUAAGUCCUUGUAUGGACUCAAGCAAUCCCCUCGACAGUGGUACAGAAGGUUUGAUGAUUUUAUGGUCUCAAAGGGCUAUCACAGAAGCAGAUAUGACAGCUGUGUUUACUUUGGUGGAUCAGAUCAAGGUGGAGUUGCUUAUUUGCUUCUGUAUGUUGACGAUAUGUUAAUUGCAAGCAAAUACAAGUCAGAGAUAGAGAGGUUAAAGAAUCUGUUAAAGGCUGAGUUUGAAAUGAAGGAUCUUGGCAAUGCCAAAAGAAUCCUUGGGAUGGACAUUAUCAGAGAUAGAUCUGCUGGCACUUUAUUCUUGAGUCAAGAGAAAUAUAUCAAGAAAGUUCUGGAGAGGUUUGAGAUGCAAGACUGUAAACCUGUUCAGACUCCACUUGGUCCACAAUUCAAGUUGUCAGCAGCUCCAACAUCAGAAGAUGAGUCUCAGAUGAAUGAAUUCCCAUAUGCACAGGCUGUGGGGAGCUUGAUGUAUGCAAUGGUAUGCACCAGGUCAGACAUAGCUUAUGCAGUAAGUGUUGUCAGCAGAUAUCUCAGUUGUCCAGGCAAGGUUCACUGGAAUGCUGUCAAAUGGAUAAUGAGGUAUCUAAAGGGUUCUUCUACUUGUGGUUUGCUGUAUGGGAAGACUAAGAGUGACAAAAUUGAAGUCAUGGGGUUUGUAGACUCUGACUUUGCUGGAGAUCUUGACAAAAGAAAGUCUACAUCAGGAUAUAUGUUUGUGUUAAAUAGUUGCCUGAUCAGCUGGAAGUCAUCUCUUCAGUCUGUUGUUGCUUUAUCCUCAACUGAAGCUGAGUUCAUUGCAACUACAGAGGCAGUAAAAGAGGCCAUGUGGCUGAGGGGCUUGCUUAAUGAGCUAUGGUUAAAUCAGAAAACUGUUCAGGUUUUUUGUGAUAACCAAAGUGCCAUACACUUGGUGAAGAAUCAAAUGUAUCAUGAAAGAACCAAGCACAUUGAUGUGAAGCUCCAGUUUAUCAGAGAUGAAGUUGGAAAGGGUACAGUGGUUGUGUCCAAGAUCCAUACCAGUGUGAAUCCAGCUGAUGCUCUAACAAAAUCACUUCCCACUGCAAAAUUUGAGUUCUGUGUGAAUCUAAUGGGCAUCAUGCCCAAAUCUAACUAAAUUCAAGAAGAUGAAUUGUAGUUGAAUGAAGGUUUUUAGGUGCUGUAUUAUUGAAGGGAUCAACUGAAUCAACUGCAAGGUGGAGAUUGUGAAGAUAUGUGUAUAUGGACUUAAAUGAAGAAACUGGAAAAGUAGAGAGCUGUUGUGCAGAUUGACUUCAGUUGAUGGGGUCUAUUUGAUAUCUUCCGCUGACGUGGCAUGAAUUCGUUAUAAUCUGUUAUAACGAAGCCCAGCACACUGAUAUAAAACAGAGGCUGACGAAUGGUGCCUCAUACUGUGCUAAUAUCGUCUUCAUUUGUUCAUCAUUUUGCAUAGAAUCUGUUUCAUUGUGAUCUGUGCAUAAUCUUCUGUAAAUCACCUGUGAUUGGGUUAGUUCUUGAUCAAUAAUAAUGAGUAAAUUUUCCUUCUAAGUUUGCUGGUCUGUGUCUUUUGUUUUGUCUCUGGUUUAGCUUCUUUGUUCUGGCUUUUCUUGAUUCGAUUGUGUUCUUGGUGUUUCUACUCACCAAGAUUCGUGAGUCUUGCUGUGGUUUAGACUUAAAAUCUUAACAAUAAUUAUAUCAAUUCUAACUUAACACCUUGUAAUUCAUUUUACACAAAAUGGAUCUCCUGUAAGAAUGUCGCAAAAGACAGCUUCAAACUGGCUAAGGGCAAGAAGAGCACUUGCAGCACCAGAAGUUUCUUUCCUAAGCUCAUCAGCAAAACCAAAACUUACAGAAACAGGCAAAUAAGCAUGAACCGUGAAAAGUGCAGAACCUUCCUGCAUUCCCUCCUUCAGCACCCAGGCCCGCCUUCGGGAAACCACUCCAUACAUUUUACUCAAAGAAUCAACUGGUGUGUUCAACUCACAAAAAUACAUGGCUUCAACAAGUCGGGGUUUCUUCUUGAGCACAGCUUGUCUACAUGCAUCUUUAACAGCUGUCAUAACUUGCCCAGAGAAGAUGCCAUGCUGCUCAGAUUGUUGGGAAGUUUCAGAGUCAACUUAUUUCCCAGCCAUAGGAGAGAUGUAAGCCUCAACAAUUGUCGAAGUUCCGUCCUUGACAACCAAGAUCCGUCGGUAAUUGGCGUCGGAAACAACCUCAGUCUCUCCCUACUCCGUGCUCCCAAACUCAGCUCAUUCUUUGACUAUUUGUUGUACUUCGUCACCGCAAACUGCCCGAUCUCUCUCAUAUGCGGCUCCUUGGGGUCUUCUAUCGGCUUCCAUCCCUCACCCAAGACUCCUUUACGGUCGACGACGGCCAGGAGAGGGAUUGUUGCCACGGCUUUUCAUGACCCCAAAAUGCCUAAAUCUUGCGCUUUAUCCGUUUUCUUAAACCUUUGUCAAGAAGGGUAAUUUUGUCUUUUUAAGAUUUAUGAACAAAUUAUACAUGAAAGGAGUGCAGGGUGCUCAAUGAUAUUUAAAUCAUAAAAAACAAAAGUCGGGGUACGGUAGAACUGUUGCAACAUAGCUGAACCCACUUAUAUGUUACUUUAACGGACAAAACUAUGGUGCAACUGUGGUACCAUACCACAGCUGCACCUAACCAUUAGAUCCAGCUGCACUCAUGUACUAUAGCUAGAAUCCAUGGGNNNNNNNNNNNNNNNNNNNNNNNNNNNNNNNNNNNNNNNNNNNNNNNNNNNNNNNNNNNNNNNNNNNNNNNNNNNNNNNNNNNNNNNNNNNNNNNNNNNNNNNNNNNNNNNNNNNNNNNNNNNNNNNNNNNNNNNNNNNNNNNNNNNNNNNNNNNNNNNNNNNNNNNNNNNNNNNNNNNNNNNNNNNNNNNNNNNNNNNNNNNNNNNNNNNNNNNNNNNNNNNNNNNNNNNNNNNNNNNNNNNNNNNNNNNNNNNNNNNNNNNNNNNNNNNNNNNNNNNNNNNNNNNNNNNNNNNNNNNNNNNNNNNNNNNNNNNNNNNNNNNNNNNNNNNNNNNNNNNNNNNNNNNNNNNNNNNNNNNNNNNNNNNNNNNNNNNNNNNNNNNNNNNNNNNNNNNNNNNNNNNNNNNNNNNNNNNNNNNNNNNNNNNNNNNNNNNNNNNNNNNNNNNNNNNNNNNNNNNNNNNNNNNNNNNNNNNNNNNNNNNNNNNNNNNNNNNNNNNNNNNNNNNNNNNNNNNNNNNNNNNNNNNNNNNNNNNNNNNNNNNNNNNNNNNNNNNNNNNNNNNNNNNNNNNNNNNNNNNNNNNNNNNNNNNNNNNNNNNNNNNNNNNNNNNNNNNNNNNNNNNNNNNNNNNNNNNNNNNNNNNNNNNNNNNNNNNNNNNNNNNNNNNNNNNNNNNNNNNNNNNNNNNNNNNNNNNNNNNNNNNNNNNNNNNNNNNNNNNNNNNNNNNNNNNNNNNNNNNNNNNNNNNNNNNNNNNNNNNNNNNNNNNNNNNNNNNNNNNNNNNNNNNNNNNNNNNNNNNNNNNNNNNNNNNNNNNNNNNNNNNNNNNNNNNNNNNNNNNNNNNNNNNNNNNNNNNNNNNNNNNNNNCACCAUAGCUGGACCCUACUUUAACAUGCCUUUUUCUUAUAGUUUACAAAAUGUAGUGCUUAUUUUCUUUCGAAUACCAAACAGUGGAGGUGUAUAUUAAGUUGAAGAAAAUAUAAUAUUAUAAACUAACACUAUGUUGUAUCAUACUUGGUAAAAUAUUUAGUGUUAACAUCUAUGAAAAUAUUAUUAAAUCCUCAAUCAAAAAUCUUCAUCGUAUUAAACAAUUUUUUAUGUAAUAUGAACUAUGUAUUUUGUUAUAAUGGAAGCUGUUAAGAAAGGUUGUCUCAACUUUAUAUUAAGAUUUUGUACUUAUAAAUAAAUAUAUAGUAUGAUCUAAACCUUACAUUUAUAAAAUUUUUUCAUAACUUAGCUAUCUAUAAAAGAUUUAACAAUUUCUUAAUUCUUCAUCAUAAAUAGUAGCAUAUUAUAAUACAAUAUAAAAUUUACCUUAAAGUUAAUUUAUUACUGCCACAUUAUAAAUCUGUAGAAUUAAUUUGAAUUGGUAAUAUUAUGACGCCAAAGAAAGGUAUAUCAAAUUUGGUUAGAACUGCCUAUUGAAGUAACAUAUACGUAUUUGUAUGGAUACAUUAUGUAGCAAAAAAAAUGAAGAUUUUUGUAACAAACUUGACAAAUAUCUAAAUUGCAGUGUUGAUGAUAAAUAAUUAAUCUCUUUUACAAUCCAUUUGCUUUUAGUCUAAAUCAAAAGAAAGAUAAUAAAUUCACGGAACUUUUGCCUUAAAAAAGCAAACGAUCCAAAUUAGAUAAAUAGUCAACCAAUUAAUCAAACAAACAAGGUCCCCUGCAUUUAAUGAGAACUUAAGCUUUUGCUUUAUCUCAGCAACAAGUUGGGUUUUAUGUGAUUUAAGAUUAAAAUAUUAAUGAAACUACAAAAUUAUGUCAUUUAAGAAAUUAUAUUUAAGUAUUUACUUAAUUAAAGUUUUAGUUAACCACUGAGUGACUUAGAUUUAAAAUUUUAGAUAAGACUCUAGUUGAUCUCUCAUGUGAGAAUGUUAAUUCACUUACUUAGCAUUAUGUGGCAUUUUCUUUAAAGAUUUUGAAUUAUUUGAUGGUUGUGAGAGUCAUAUUUAAAAUAAUAAAAAUUAAUGUAAUUAUCAUGUUAAUGGGACCGCAUUAGAGUCAUUAAUUCAUAAAAGAAUAUUAAUUCAUAAAAGAUUUUGAAUUUCUUAAAGUAAAAUUUAAAGAAAGCGGUUUUACUUUUUUUUUUCCUUACGCACUAAAGCAUUGAAUGUGUGGUGCUUUUUUUUUAAUUGAUAAAAAUAUUAAUGGAUAACAACAAAUGUGUGGCUUCUAUAGAGAUAUAAAUAAAAUAAUGUUAAAUAGAGAUUUUGUAUGAAUAAAUAAGAUUAAAAUCGUCAUUAUAACGUUAAAAAGGAGAUUUUGUAGGGAUUUGAUAAUUUAUUUAUGACAAUUUUGUAGGAUUAAAAUUGUUAUUAAAUAUAAAUGAAUAAUUUUAUAGCUAUAAUGUUAGAGAGAAAUUUGGGGCCUUUAUAUUUAGUGGAGCUCAUUGCCCAAGUUACUUAGAGAAAGAGCUGUUCUUAGUUAACAUCACAUCUACAAAUUGACUUUAAAUUUCUAAUGAAUCGGUCAUAACAUUCUUUUUUUGCUAAAUACUCAUAAAUAUUUAAGUUAUUACAUAAAGAUCCAAUGUUAACACUUAAUAAAAUUGUAUAAAUUCGAUAACAAAAACAUUGAAUUCAAAUAAAAGGAAAAUUUACGUGUAGUUCAGUUAGUCUUGGAAUGACAUAGUACUCAUAUAGAGUUAUGAUGUUCAAUAAUUAUUACGACCAAAAUAAAAUUUUUGAUUGGCCAUAUCUUUCAGAUUUGUAAUCAAAUGGUAGAUGUUUUAACUAAAUUUGUAUUCUAUUGCUUUGAUUUUUAUGUUUGGCUAGAUCCCAGCUAAUUAUCUUGUUAUUUUUUAUAGGUUAUUUGUAAAUAAAUGAAGUCUAUUAUUCAGAAAAAUAAUUACCUGCAAAAAUCGUACUCUAUUUUCAAUUAUUCGUAUCCAAAAGCAAAAUCUUACAAAAAGGUAAUAAUAUUCCGAAUUAAUUAAAAAACGACACGUAAGCAGGCAAGUCCACACGAAACCACCGAAAAGCACAAAAAAAAAAAAAGAAACACGUUCAUUCAAUUUAUUGUGAUACGAUAAAUGCUUAACAAAAUGUCAUAUCAAUUUCACCAUCAAAACUACGGUAUUUUUUUCUAUAUAUUAAAGAAUUUUUUUAAAAGCAAAUAAAAACCCAAAAAAACAAAAAAAAAGCGACAAUUGUGCUGAAACUCACCGUUCCCAGUUUCCCAAUGAAUAAAAUAAAUAUAAAGGACUCGUGCGUGCCUUCCAUUUCCCUCCUGUUUUUGUUACCCGCCUCCUCCUCAUCUCGCCACCUGUUUCCCCCACUACACCCCCAAAACGUCACCGUUUCAUUCUCACUCCUUCCUCACACCCCUCUCCUUUUCCCCACAUUCCUUCGUUUCAUAUCAACUCAAAAAUUCAUUCUUUCAACAUUAAUAAUAAUAAUUUUAUUGAAAUAAAUCAAUCAAAAAGGUAACCCCAAAUAUCUCCUCCAGCUUUUUGCUGCUUCUUAAUUUUGAUCGACUAUGACGAUGUACUAAAGCUUCAAUUUUUUUCGGUUUUUUCAGUCAACGCUUUUGCUUCAAGAUUUCGUUUUACCUUCCUUGAAAAUUAAAGCUCACCUAAUUGAUACGAUUAAAAUUCUUUUUUUAGCUGAAGAUUGAUACAAUUUUCACUUCAUUUUUUUCUUAACUUUGUAUCCGGAUUUGCUACUUUUGUUUAAAGUUUUUUAUUUUUUUUAUAUUUUUCUGUGGAGCUAAGCAUGACUUUGGUUACAGCUUUAUAUUAUUUUAACAUAUAAUUAGACUAAUUUAUUUAUUUGUGGAUUUAUUAUUUUUUAAAUAUGGUUUGAGACUUCUGAUGUUUCAAUAUUUAUUGCACACGUGUAGUGCAGUGGCUUUAAUGAAUGUGGUAUUGUAAAGUUUAAAGCUUUUUGCAUGUGAAUGAGUUGGUGUGUACUCUUCCAUUGAUGUUUAGAUUCAUGUAUGUGGUGAUCUCUGAUCUGGGUACACGUUAGAUUUUAAUUUUAUUGUUACUUAAACUGAUGAACACGAAUUUUGAAGUGAAUACGUGUGUUUGAUUGACUGGAUUUUGUAAGAUUCCUUUGUAGAAGUAUUUUAAUCCCACGAAGAGUAUGAUUCAGCAAAUAGCUUUGGGAAUGGUAUUGAUUCUAUUCUUGUUUGUUUAUUCAUAUAAUAACUUUGAUGCAACCUUCAGAUUCCUUUUGAACCAUGUAGUUAUAUAUUUGGAUUAGUUUAUAGCAUAUCAACUGUUGAUUGUUGCAUUUAGAUGUUUUUUGUUACUUCCGCUCUUGAUUGCUUAUUAUAUGUCAGUUAAAGAGCAAACAUUAUACAAGUUCUUGAUUGAUUAGUGCUCUUUCGUAUAACGGGUUCGUGACUGAUGUUCACUUUCUUAUUUGAAUAUUCAGAUACUUCCGUAGCUGAUGGCUUCGCCGGAUAUUGAGUCUCCCUGGCUUUGUGCCGCUGGUGAAUCCGUCUGUGGGUCGUUUAAUAUACGCGUGGAGGAGGGGAAUGCAGCCGAUAUUUUACAUGUGCUGGAAGUUCCCACCUCUUCUGUACCCUAUAACUGUAGUAUACCCAAGCCACCCCCUCUCCCUAUUAAACCCUGUACAAAAAACAAAUAUCCCAAUAGAUUUUUACAUUGUAGUUUUGUUCCAAAGGAAACAAAGGAUGUAUGGGAUAAGCUUUUCAAGGAAGGAAAUGGUGCAGAUGUCUAUAUUAUCACCAAGGACGAAUCCUGUAUUCAAGCUCAUUCCAGUAUACUGGUGAGUUAAUUGAACUUUGCCUUCUCUGUUAAAGUAGAGCUACCCCGGGUUUUCUCAAUGACAAUUGCUUUAGUACUGUAAAGUAAUUUCACUUCGGAGAUGUUAUGGAUGUUAAAUAGAUGGUCCAGUGGCUAAGUUAGCAAUUUUAGAACCUGGCUGAAGAGUUGGCAUCUAUUCAACAUAAAUAUACAGUGUUUGGAAUUACUCUGUUUAUAAAUGGAUAGAAGAAAUCCUGGGACCAUCUAACCUGUGCUGGGGAAUAUUCUGCAGCAAUCAAAAGCAAAGAAUGGUUUCAGAUAUAUCAAAAUUCCUGGGAUGCCUCAUGAAGCUGUCUAUGCAUUCGUUCGUUUUCUCUAUUCCUCCUGGUAUGUUGAAAGAAUGUUGCUAUAUUCUCAUUGUGCUUAAAACGAUCAAUAUGGUUUUCGGAGGAUUUGCAUGUUACUGAUUUAUUGGGUCCUAGAUUCCUUGAAAAUGAAUUAUUAUGGGUGUUGAUGAUUGAAAAAGGGGUCCAUGAUAUAUCAAAAUUGCUUGGUUUAUUUUUCUCAUGCACUGUAGUUCGUUUGUUCUAGUUUUCAAGAAUCGUGAGGCGUUGGUUAUUACGUCAUCCAUAUAUGCUUGGUAUAUGGUGUACUCUUUCAUUUAUAAAUAAAAUAAAGUUUGCUCAUUCCUUAGAGGUUUAAUGACAUCCAUCUCUGUAUAUAUAAAAGACUACGUCCAAUCAAAGUUUUGAUUUUAAAUAUAUUUUAGUUUGAAGGGCAUACGGAGCAGUGAUGAACACAUUUGACGAGUUGGAAUGGGGGAUAUGUUGAAGAGUUUUGUAACUAAAAUGUUGUAGCUCAAAACCAACUAACUUUUUCCUUUUCAGUUGAUUAAAUUCAUGACAAUACAAGAAAAGCUUUUAGUGUACGAGCCUUAGUAUAAUUUUUUAAAUAGAGCUUAUUUUACUAUAGCUUUAUUAGUUGAGCUUUUACAAGUAAAAUUUUUAAAUAAAAAAGAAUUAAUUAUUUGAUUGUUAACGAUAUUUUUUAUUUCUUUUAAAAUUAUGUUGUGAAAGAAAUGAAAUAAGAUUGUCAAAUAAGUAAAUGAUAGUUUUAAAAUUUUAACAUUUUAAAAAGCUUAUCAACCUUUACUGUCAAAAAUCCAAAAUUUGAGCUUUUGUUUGCAACGGUAAAAUAACUUAUUUAAUCAUCAAAAAUUCUAUUAAAAAAUUAACUAACAAUAAUAAUAAAUUUUAAAAGAGAUUAUGAGAUUAAAUAAAUACUUAUGGUCAUUAGAUAAGUGAUGCUAAGCAAAGACUAAAAAAUCAAAAAGAAAUAAAAAAACGCAACAGAUCAGCUUAUGGGAGACAAAAUGAGUUUUACCUUAAUUAAAUACAAGAAAUAAAAAAAUUGAGAAGCUCCACGCAGAGAGCAAGAAAAGUAGAGAACCAAAAGUUAACAUAAAUAAUAGUUUGAAAAGCCAUUAGCAUCUCUAGAAAGAAAAACUGAAGCUUAUGCAAGAGGUCAAGACCACAAGUGAAAGAAAAGGUAAAGCGUCUACAUGAGGUAAAGAUCACCAAAUAAAGUCUGUACAAUGAAGCUCAGGAUUAACAAUGACAAUCUUGAGCAGUAAUGCAACAUCAAAAGAAUUUAUUCGGUUGGAGUCAAAGAAUGAAUGUGAUAAUUGUUGAUGCCAAAAUCUGCUCGUCCGUGGACCGACCAGAUUCGCUCACCAACGUUUAAGUUCUCGACUGCUGCUUGAACCGCUAAGGCUGCAAUUAACCUUCUCUCUCUCUCACUAGACCUGCGUACACCAAAAACGGAUCAGAGACGCCGGUGGUUUUGCCGGCGUAAACCCUCCGAUGCCUAAGUUAGCACAAGGUGUUUACGGGAAAGCGAUUAAAUUUGGAUUUACGAAUGGUUCGAGAUUUGCUCAAAGUUUAUAGGAAAAUGGCCUGGUUGCAAUUUGGCAGCGUUUUCCCUCUCUCAGUUUUUCUGUCCCUUCUUCAUCGAUUUCUUCUCAUUUUAUAGCCGCUGCCCCCACGUUUUCGUUUGCCCUUCAUCCCACCUUUUUCGGGUAGUGGCAACCCCUCAUGGGACUCUAACUGUUACAUUGUGGGCAAACGUGGAUCUCGCGUGUCCUUCGACGGUUCUGGAAAAGCGUAACUACUGUGAUUUCGUGGGAUCGUGUUCCCGCUUUUCCGGGGAUGAAUGUCGGCUCGGUAUAUACCUCUGGUCGGUAUGUUUCCUUGGUUGUAUCCAUCUCUGGUCCGCUCAUGCUCGCCCCCGUGUUCUGCUCAUAUCAUUUUGGCUGAAGCAAUCCGUGCCGGGGCGAGAAUAGUAGCAUGGUCGACCUGGUGCCGACCUGGUGCCGACCUGGUGCUCUUAUGUACUCAACACCAGUCCCCCAGUUUCUGGUCUGGUGAGUGAAAUGAAUGAAGAGCAGAAACUGAUGGUCAAAUCUCGCCAACCCGGGGAACUUCUCAUCUGGUCUUUUGUUUGCUGGGGCGGACCUGAGGUACCAUCCUUGUUCUGGGGGGAUUCCGACCUGAGCAUGGGCCUAAAUAAGCAUGCCCAUUGCAUAUCUGGGCUUGCAUCUAUCCUGGCCUCUCGUAACGGUUGGUGACGUGGCGCUUCCCGACUCUCCGUAUUUGAAAUUUGAAACGACGGGCUAUUCGUCCUCGAUAUAUGGGGGGUGAGCUGGCAUAUCCCAUCACUUAAAUGCUUCCAUUUCCCCCUUUUUCGUUUCAAAUCCCUAGACUGGAGUCAUCAUCCUUUUGUUAUUCGUUUCUCCGCCGUCAACCAAAUUUUCUCUGAACUUUGCUUACACUUCCAGCGUCCGGAGUAUCCAUUUGCCGGGUGUUUUCUCUGUCACGGCAGCGCUAUCAGUGUCAGUCUAUUCCAGGUAUAGUCUUUUAACUUCUCCUCUGGUUGUUGUUGAUUGGGUUCUGUGUUGCCCUCUUUGUGUCCAUAUACUUGAGUUUUCUCUGUUUUCUUUUGGGGAUUCCGGUAUGUCAAAUCGGAAGAGGAAGUUAAUUAUUGAUGAGGGUGAUGAAGAGUCAGGGGACUCAGGCCUCAAUGUGCCAAUGCCCACUGAUUACUUAGACCCCUCUAGUAGUGUAGGUCCUUCCCAUGGCAGGGAUACCCUUGAAUACCCACGCCCUUUGGUUAUCUCUCCUUCCCCCGAACUAGAGCUUGUAGGGAAUAGAGGUGGACCUGCGUCGGGCUCUGGUGAGAAUCACGGUUCUGGUGGGGUUGGGGUCCUUGAAGGAGUUGGUGAUGGUGAGGGGAGCAGUUCCGGACCGAGCCGACCUGCUCAGAAAAGGAACCUAGGCCAUAGGGUGGAGGCUGAUUCCUACCCUAUUGAUUUCAUGGCUUGUGCCACCACCCCCACCGAUCUAUUUAAACUUAGGAAUCUCUACAACAUCCCCAGCGAUGUUCUUCUUGUAGUUCCUGGGAAGGGUGAUGUUCCUAGUCGGCCUCCGCGGGGGUAUGUGACGAUGCAUCUGGAGAGCUUCAAAUUAGGAGCUCGGCUACCCCUUCAACGCUAUUUUGCUAAGAUACUAGGUGGUAUGCACCUGGCCCCAGGUCAGCUACACCCCAACGGUUGAAGGGUUCUCUCGGCUAUGUAUGUGUUGUGGGAGAGGUGUGGAUCAGAGGAGCCCUCCCUUGUUGAAGUGAAACAUCUGUAUCAGCUGCGGAGCAGCCCAAGGGAGGCGGGCUGGUACUACUUCAUGUCCAGUUCUGCGAAGAGAAAGCCAAUCACCGGUUUCCCCUCCUCCUGCAAAAAUUGGAAGAACAAAUUCUUCUUUGCUGGGGGAAAUUGGUGUUCAGCACUCCGUUCGUUGGGUGGUGAUGUUUACGUUCCAACGCAGUUUGUCACCCCAGGUCGUUCAUUUUUUACCUGUAUUCUUUCUCGAAUUGCCACUUAUUGGGUUCUUUAACCUUGUUUGUUAUUUCAGAGUCAUGGGGUUUGAUCGGGGGGCUUGAAGAUCGACCCUUGCUUCAGGUGGAAACUACUCUGGUGAACGCUUCUACUUGCCAAGACCUCCUGUCUCCAACAAACCUGGUCGAUUCGGGCCUAGUGGAUAUAGCUGCUGGAAUGGAUAACAAGAUCCUCAGCGCGAUGAGCAGGAAGCGUGGUCGGGCCCCGAGUAGCUCCAGCAACCCCCCUCCUCCUCCGAAGAAACUUAGCGUUGGUCCUUCCAAGGCGCCUGUUCCUGCUCUGCCUCCUCCUCCACCUCGUAAGAGUGGUGGGGAGAAAACCUCUGACAAGAGUCCUGAGGUCAGCUUGCAGUCUGGGGACCGAUCUUCUCCUCUACCAUCUCGGGAUCAAGUGGACUACCUGAGCCCGUAUCAGAAGGAUUACAAAAAGGCGGUGGGGCCCAAGAUGGUGAAGGACAUCGAGAGUAUGAAUCUCUCCGAAUUAGCUGCUUCUGUUCAGAGAGUGUCCUUCAAGCUGGCCACUAUGGUUUCGUGCUACAAGAUUGGGACUGCGCGCCAUGAGAAGAAGCUCCAAGCUGACAAUCAGGAAUUGAAGAAGAAAGCUGACUCUGCUGACCGCUCCAAGGAGAAACUGGCUGAGCUGAACAAGCAGAUUGCGGAGCUAGAGGAGAAGGUUGCGGUUGCUGAAUCCACUUCCUCCAAACUCGAGGGCGAGUUGGGUGACUUGAGAUCUGAUCUUCAGGCUACUCAAACAGAAAGGGAUACUUUGAGGGUCGCCCUUGAGGAGGAAAUCAAAUCCUUGGGUGAGCAGCUGGCCGAGGAGAAAGGCAAAUCCGCUGAUGUGGAUGAUCGGGUUGAUGCCGAGUAUGAUUCUGGGGUUGGCUUCUCCUACAAGUGCAUCAUGUCUGUGCUUAAGACAGAAUAUCCCGAGAUGGACAUGAGCAAACUGGAGGCCGGAGUACAGCGGUAUAUGGCGCAGGUCGACCAAGCAGAUAAGGAGCAGGGUGAGCAGGAGCAGGUGGAGGCCCCUUUGGAUGGGGGGCAAGAGGGGGAAGCUGGGGGACGCACUUUCGAAAUGGGUCAAGGGUCCAUGCCUCCUCCUUCCGGCAUUGCUGAUCUCCCACCUCCUGAUGUUGCUGAUCCCUUACUUCCCGGGCUCGCUGAUCCUUCAGCUGCUGGAGCCGCUGACUCUGCUAAGCUUUGAGUCUAUUUUUUGUAUAAACUCUAGAUUUGCAUUUGUUUUGUAAACGACUGAACAUUUAUAAAAUUUCUGGAAUGUUCUCCCUUGGCUUUCUUAUCUGGUAUUGCUUGUGAUUCUUUAGUGCAUCGAACUGGAAUAGGCAUCCGUUUGCCUUAGUAAAGUUUUCGCAGAUUUAGCUGCUGGUCUCUCGUUGACCGAACAGAAACAGACCCUUACUUGCCUUAGUGCAAAUUUGGAGAAAUUAGCUGCUGGUCUUCGCUGACCGAGCAGAAGUAGGCACUUUCUUGCCUUAGUAGAUUAGCUGCUGGUCUUUCGUUUGACCGAGCAGAGGCAGGCACUUUCUUGCCUUGGUAAAAUCUUCGUAAAUUUAGCUGCUGAUCGUUCGUGGACCGAGCAGAAGUAGGCACUUGCCUUAGGAGAGUGUUCGUAGCUUUAGCUGCUGGUCAUUCGUUGACCGAGCAGAAAUAGGCACUCUGUUGCCUUAGUAGAUUAGCUGCUGGUCUUUCGUUUGACCGAGCAGAGCUGAAUUCCUCUUUAUUGAAAUUUGAAUGCGUUACAAAAGUACAAAACAUAUGCAUGUGCACCAAACCAUCAUGCAUUUGAUCAAUAUAACUUAUCAAAUUGAAGAUUUAGUAGAGUAUUUUGCUUACUGGAAAUACUUCUUCAAAUGCUCGGCGUUCCAUGACCUCUUCACGUCUCGUCCAUCUCGGUAUGCUAACUUAUAAGCUCCCGGACCAGUUGCUCGUAUCACCCUGUACGGGCCUUCCCAUUUCGGACCAAGAGCUCCAUGGUUAGGAUUCCUGGUGUUCUGGUUCACUUUCCUAAGUACCCAAUCUCCUGCUCGGAACUGCCUCACGCGUACAUUCUUGUUGUAAUAACGCAUGACCCUUUGCUGACAUUGGGCCACUUUCUUCGAGGCCCCUUCCCUUUUCUCUUCCAGCAGGUCUAGGCUUAGGCAGAUCUGCUCGUCAUUUUGCUCCUCAGCGAAAUGUUCCGUUCGAUGUGUCCCCACUCCAAUCUCUGCUGGGAUUACCGCCUCAUGACCAAAGGCUAAAGCGAACGGUGUUUCUCCUGUGGCGGUUUUGUGAGUUGUCCUGUAGGCCCACAGUACCCCUGGAAGCUCGUCAACCCAAGCUCCCUUCUUCUCUCCCAAUCUAGUCUUCAGGAGCUUCUUUAUCACCUUGUUGGCUGCUUCCACUUGUCCGUUUGCCUGGGGGUGUGCGGGGGUGCAGAACUUCAGGUCCACCCCCAGGUUUCGGCAAAACUCUCUGAAGUUGCCGUUGUCAAACUGCCUCCCAUUGUCUGUGAUGAUGGCAUAGGGGAUCCCAUAUCUGCAGAUGAUAUUUUUCCAAAUAAAAUCUGUUGUCUUCCUCUCUGUGAUCUGGCUGAGGACUCCCACUUCCACCCACUUGGUGAAGUAGUCUAUUGCCACAAUUGCAUGUGUCGCCGCUCCUCGUUCCUUAGGUAACGGACCAAUCAAGUCGAUUCCCCAUUGAGCGAAAGGCCAUGGGGAUGUCAUAGCCGUCAGCUUUUCCGGGGGUUGUGUAGGAACCUCGGAGAAGCUUUGGCAUGUUUUACAAUUCUUUGCCAUCCUCUUGGCAUCCUGGUGCAUGGUUGGCCAGAAAUAUCCUUGCCGGAGUGCCUUGAAGGCUAAAGUUCUUGCUCCCGAGUGAUUGCCGCAUAUUCCCUCAUGAAUCUCUCUCAGCACAUAAUCCGCCUCCUCAUCAUCCAAACAUCUCAACAGGGGCAAGGUGAACCCUCGGCGGUACAACACCCCAUCCAGUAGCGUAUACCUUGCUGCUCGGCAUUUCAGUUUUCUUGCUUGUCUCUUAUCCUCUGGUAAAACUCCAUCGCGGACAUACGCGCAAAUCGGGUCCAUCCAGGAUUCUCCAAUACUUACUCUCAUCACCUCUGCAUCUUCCUCAAUACUUGGUGAGGUCCUUAUCUCUAGUGGAACUGACUUCGGUAAUUUUGGAUCUGCAAUAGCAGCCAUCCUAGCCAACAUAUCUGCUCGGUAAUUCUCAUUCCGGGAUAUCUGCUUUACUUCCACCUCUUGGAAAAACCCAACCAUCUGCUUUGCCUUCUUCAAAUAAAGUCCCAAUUUCUCUUCCCUUACUUGGAACUGAUCAGUGAGCUGGUUACAUACUAGCUGGGAGUCUGCUCGGAUUUCUACCCUUUUCUGCUCGCAGCGCAUGUGCAAGACCGAGCCCAGUAAUGAAGGCCUCAUAUUCAGCUUGGUUGUUCGUAAGCUGGAACUCGAACUUCACCGCAUAGGAUGCCUCAACACCUUCUGGGCUUCGUAUUAUAACUCCUGCCCCGGAUCCCUGUUCACUACGCGAUCCAUCAACCAUUACCAGCCAUACCCCCUUUGAAUCCUCAUGUUCAGCUGAUUGUUCCUCGUGAACCUCUUCCCCUGGUUCAGCACGAUCAAUCAUAAAAUCUACCAGGGCUUGAGCCUUGAUUGCUCCUCGGGGCCUGUAGGACAAGUCGAACUCACUUAGCUCCACGGACCAUUUUACUAGUCGACCAGACACAUCUGGUUUUUGAAGCACCUGCCGAAGGGGCUGGUCAGUCAUCACAAUGAUCUGGUGGGCUUGGAAAUAUGGUCGGAGUUUGCGUGCUGCCGUUAUCAGGGCGAGCGCCCACUUCUCCAUUAGUGGAUAUCUGGUUUCUGCGUCUACCAGGGCCUUGCUUGUGUAGUAUACUGGGUGUUGCUUUCCUUUUUCUUCCCUGACUAAGACCGAGCGGGUAGCCCACUUAGAGAUUGCCAAGUACAAAAGCAGCUGGUCACCCUCUCUGGGAGUUGAUAGUAACGGGGCGCGGGCUAGGUAUUCCUUCAACUGUCCAAAUGCCUCCUCGCAUUCUGGUGUCCAUUCCAUCUUCCUCCAUUUCUUUAUGAUUUGGAAGAAAGGGUGGCACUUAUCAGUGGCUCGCGAAAUGAAUCGGUUUAAUGCUGCCAAUUUCCCCGUAAGGCUCUGCACCUCCUUAACUGUUCUUGGGGACCGCAUUUCUAUCACCGCCCGUAUCUUUUCCGGGUUGGCCUCAAUCCCUCGAUGGCUCACCAGGUACCCCAAAAAUUUGCCCGAGCUGACCCCAAAUGCACAUUUCUCCGGGUUCAGCUUCAUUUCGUACUUCCUCAGCAAAUCAAAGGUCUAUUCCAAGUGCUUCACAUGAUCUCUCGGUUCUCUUGACUUGGUGAUCAUAUCGUCCACAUAUACUUUCAUAGUGUGGCCGAUCAAUGGUUUGAAGACCUUGUUCACUAACCUUUGAUAGGUAGCUCCAGCAUUUUUCAGGCCAAAGGGCAUCACCCUGUAACAAAACAAACCCAUGUUAGUUAUAAAGGUCGUGCUUUCCUCAUCCUGCUCGUUCAUGGGUAUCUGGUUGUAUCCGGAGAAGGCAUCCAUGAAACUGAGCAGACUAUGACCCGCGGUUGAGUCCACCAACUGGUCUAUUUUUGGUAGUGGAAAGCUGUCCUUCGGGCAUGCCUUAUUGAGGUCCGUGAAGUCUACACACAUUCUCCACUUCCCAUUGGCCUUCUUUACCAGCACUACAUUGGAAAUCCACUCCGGGUACUUGGCUUCCCUUAUAAACCCUGCUUUUAGCAGUUUUUCCACCUCGGUAUUUAUGGCUUCGUACCUCUCAUGGUUGAAGCACCUCCUUUUUUGCCUCACCGGCCUUGCCCCUUUCUUGAUUGCCAGCUUGUGGCAUGCUACCCUGCGAUCAAUACCUGGCAUAUCCUCAUGAGACCAGGCAAAUAUGUCUGCAUGGGACUGUAGACAUUUCACCAGCUCGCCUUUUAUUGGUUCGCCCAAUUCUGUUCCGACCUUAACCACUCUGCUAGGGUCACUCCUGCUUACAACAACUUCUUCCAGCUUCUCAACAGGUUCCUGGCGACCGUUUUUUGAAUCCCCUCGGUUAUCUAGAGACGUAACCUGCAGUGUUUCCUUGGCCGCUGUAGCAUAGCAGCUCCUGGCCAUUCUCUGGUCGCCCUUCACGACACCCACAACUCCAUUUAUUCUGUAUUUCAGUGCCAGGUAAUGCGUGGACAUUACACAUUGGCUUAUCCUCAUGAACGGUCUACCCAAUAUCAUCUGGUAAGGGCUCCUCUCCUCUACCACUACAAAGUCCAGCAUCAUUGUUCUUUCAAAUGGCUUUGUCCCCACAGUAAUCGGGAGUUCAAUGACCCCCAUGGGAGUUAACCGUCCCCCUCCAAAUCCCUUCAAGGAUGUAUUCGUUCGCUCCAGCUUUAAGUCUGAAAUCCCCAUAUCAUCUAGGGCGGACUUAAACAGAAUGUCUACUGAGCUGCCCGUGUCUACCAAUAUUCGCCGCAAUUCUGUGCUGGCCACCAAUGCUCUAAUCACCAGUGCAUCCUCGUGAGGGUACAAAAUGCCCUCUUCGUCGUCCUCUGUCCACAUAAUAGGGACUUGCCGCACUUUUGCCCUCUUGGCUGCUGGCAAAUUGAGAAGCACUUCCUUGCCAGUCAUGGCAUAUCUCCCAUAGUUUUUGCGUGCUCUGUUUGAAUCCCCGGCCAAUGUUGGCCCUCCUGCUAUCACCCGGAUAGUCGGCUGUUCUCGUUCUAAACCCCUUUCAACUCCUACAUCCUGUGCAUAUUGCGGCUCACUGACGGGGGACACUCCAUCUACGUACUCACCCAAGUACUGGUUUCUCACCAAAUCCUCCACCUGAAUCCUUAGGUCACGGCAUUGGUUGAUAGUAUGACCAUGAGUGUUGUGGAAUUUGCAGAACCUGCUCUUAUCACGCCGGUGAGCGGGUUUUGUUAUAGGGGCCGGAGGGUACAAUAGGCCUCGUCCCUCGAUCCUCUCAUAUAAUUCCUCCAUGGAAAUCUUUAAUUGCGUGUACUGUCUAUAUGCCGAGCUCUGGUCUACUAGCUAAACUGUUCGGCUAUCAUGAAUGUCACCUCGGGUUGGUAUAGCGGAUGGCUGCUCUGGUCGUCCCGACCUGUAAUUAGGUGCACUUAAACUUCUGGGAGUGCUGUGAUAAGGGUGGGCGGCCAUCUACCUGAAUUCUCGCUGCCGCUCUGGGAUCGGAGGGCGCGGAGGUUGGGCCCGGCUGUGUUGGAACUGUUGUGCUCUCGGAGCUAUGGGGUAAGGGCGGGUCCGAACUGAAAUUCCACCCAUCCCUGAAGAUUCUCCAGCUCGCUUUCCCGACCCGCUCCCUUUCGGGGCUCUCCGUUCCUUUUGCCUCAGCUCUUCCAGCUGUUCACUUUUAAUUCUAGCUGAUUUCUCCUCUUCGAUUUCAAUAUCUCGUCUCGCCUGCUCAUACCCUGACGAGUAAUUCUGUACGAGGGGGCUCCUUAGGUUAUACCACAAUCGGCCGAUUCUUACACCUUCUUUUAAUCCCCUCAACGCCUGCGGGUGAUUAAAAGCUCCCAAAUCCAGCACGGCUCGGUGAUAUCGUUUCACAAAGUCUCGCAGGGAUUCAUGAUCCUCCUGUUUCAUCCCCAUCAGUUCCAUCAUGUCGUCCUCCGGGGCCACUGCCCCUCGGAACUGCUCGGCCAACUCCUGGCACAUCUGCUCAUACCCUUUUAUUCCUCCUCGGGGCAGCUUGCGGUACCAUUCUCGGGCUCGUCCCUCUAGUGUCAACGGGAACACCCUGCACCUCUGAGCUGGUGUCAACCCCUGCACACCCGUCAUGUCGUUGAAACGCUCAAUGUGCACCAACGGGUCACUUCGCCCGGAGUAUUUGAGGUCGGGGAAGCGGAAAUCUCUUGGAAUUAUGGUACUCAUGAUCUCAGUUGAUAACGGAGAUUCGUCAUCUAGCAUUAUCCUCCAGCUCGGGGGCUUUCUCUUUCCCUGCAUCUCCUCUAUCACCUGCGCCAAUCUGCGCACCUCCCCCUCCAAUUCUAUGGCACGAUUAGGGUCACGUGCAGCUACCUGGUCUCGCUCCUGCUCGACGUUCUGCAACCGCUGUCUGAGCUCUCCUUCAUCGACACUUGCCCCUCGGUCAUUUAUUUCCAGUAUCCGUCCGGGGCGAGGUUGAUCUCUCCCUUCAUCCACGUGCUCCCCUAGGACCCGACCAGUACUUCGGUGGGGAUGCACCCCGUUAGGUUGGUCUGCGGGCGGAGGGAUCUCCCCGACUCUACGCCCCUGGAGGCUGGGUUCAGCUCCAACUCCAUCUCUUCCCUCGGGGGUUUCACAAUCCCUUCUCCGCUCGUCCCUCAGCUCAAACAAUACGGCCGCGAGAGUCUCCAUUUGUUUCUCCAUUCGCUCCAGUCUAUCUUGCAUCAUCCUCUCUCGGGCUUCAUUUGCAAUCUCCCGGAGAGUGAUUGUCUCCACCGUUUCAUUGUCCUCCCUUAAAGUAUCCUUUCUUGACACAUCCAUAUCCAAUCGCUUGCUGCUUCUCCGAUAAUUACUAAGUUGGUGGUAGCUUUUUAUUCAGCUCCCCACAGACGGCGCCAAAAUGUUGAUGCCAAAAUAUGCUCGUCCGUGGACCGACCAGAUUCGCUCACCAACGUUUAAGUUCUCGACUGCUGCUUGAACCGCUAAGGCUGCAAUUAACCUUCUCUCUCUCUCACUAGACCUGCGUACACCAAAAACGGAUCAGAGACGCCGGUGGUUUUGCCGGCGUAAACCCUCUGAUGCCUAAGUUAGCACAAGGUGUUUACGGGAAAGCGAUUAAAUUUGGAUUUACGAAUGGUUCGAGAUUUGCUCAAAGUUUAUAGGAAAAUGGCCUGGUUGCAAUUUGGCAGCGUUUUCCCUCUCUCAGUUUUUCUGUCCCUUCUUCAUCGAUUUCUUCUCAUUUUAUAGCCGUUGCCCCCACGUUUUCGUUUGCCCUUCAUCCCACCUUUUUCGGGUAGUGGCAAACCCUCAUGGGACUCUAACUGUUACAUUGUGGGCAAACGUGGAUCUCGCGUGUCCUUCGACGGUUCUGGAAAAGCGUAACUACUGUGAUUUCGUGGGAUCGUGUUCCCGCUUUUCCGGGGAUGAAUGUCGGCUCGGUAUAUACCUCUGGUCGGUAUGUUUCCUUGGUUGUAUCCAUCUCUGGUCCGCUCAUGCUCGCCCCCGUGUUCUGCUCAUAUCAUUUUGGCUGAAGCAAUCCGUGCCGGGGCGAGAAUAGUAGCAUGGUCGACCUGGUGCCGACCUGGUGCUCUUAUGUACUCAACAAUAAUAUUUGCUCCACGAUUUCUUUCCACCGAUUGUCCAUCGACCCGUAUCAAGCAAGGAUGUGUUGUUGUAUUUGGAAUAUGCAGCUCACUUUUCAGAUCCAGCCUUUGGAAUUGCCAAGUUUAUGAAGACAGACUCGAGCAAUUGGACUGUAUGCGCAACCACGUAUGGAUUUGUCAUUGUUGCUCCACGUAUGUAAUAUUCUUUUGAUUCCAUUUUGAGGAAUAUCAUUAUGUAACACAUUCCGUUGACUUAUGAAACAGAGUAAACCAUGUUUCUUUCUUCUUCUUUUUUUCAGUUGACUUUGCGGAGCUUGCCUACACAAUGAAGAUCACAGAACAACCCAACGUGUACAGUUUCGGAGUGCUACACUGGAAGUGAUCAAGGGGAUCCAAGAGGUUUUCUUUCCUCAGUUUCGUCUUCAUCUUCCAACAUGAACAUGCACGAGUAGCUGCUCUGCUAUAUCUAUUGAUUUUUGCUAGACUAGUCAUUAUUAUUUGAGUUUUAAAUAUUUGCCUUCAUUACUCAUUGUUGCACAAGCUAAUCGUACACAUCAUGCUAUGUAGGUCUCAAUUCGGAACAAAAGAAUGUUAGUUGAAGACACACAACACAAAAUAUAAAAAAUUAGUUCGCAGAUGGCCACAAAAGACUAGCUACAUUUCUGUCCAAAAAAAAAGAAAGAAAAGAAAUAAGAAAUAAUCUGUUUGUACGGCCUCUGUAAACCAACUGCUUCCAUGCCCCAAUUUCGAAACUAUCAUUGAUAUAGAGCCAUUAGUUCCAUCUCUCGCCUAAAGCUUCGGGAGAUAUGGUCAAAAAUCUCCUUAUCGCCAUAGUUUUGCUACAAAAGCCAAUAGAAUUAAUGAUCCUUAUAAAUUAUGAAUUACAUCCUAAUCUACUUGCAUUAUUUUGGAUUAAAAAAAUCUUGCUUUGAUCAUCAUUCCGAUUGGAAAUAUCAAACUCUAAGGCUUGUCAUUAAUUGGGACAAAAUUUUAAUUACAUCUCAACUUCGUAAAUAGAAGUACUUAUCAUUGAAAUAUAAUUAAAGUAGCAAGAGGCCAUUUGAAGUGUAAAAGGAAAAGGAGAGAGAAGGGUAGCUAUAGAUGGAUAAGAUAUGUGUCAGAACGAGUCAACAUUUGAUAAAACCUUUUGGGAUUGUAUCUAACAACAUUUUUUUUUCUCGGUUGGAUCUCAGUGUUUAUACAAAAGCAAAGAUUUGGAUGACUAAAAUUUGACGCUAUACUUAUAAAGUAGAGAUAUAGAGUUUAUCACCAGUGUAAUAUAUACAUGGUCUUAAUUUACACAAUUCACCAUGUGACAGUGAGAUGAUGAUAAGGUAAAUUAUCAAUUAAAAACAUGACAGUUUGUACUAAUGUUAGAUCAUAUGAUAUGCUUAUUGAGUUAAUGGUCAUGUUCGGUCCAAUUGAAUAAGUCUAAAGUAGUAGUAAAGUUGAAUAAGUCUAAGUUAGUUGAGAUAUUAUCAACUUAGUUUGUCAAUUAAGUAUCCAGUUCUUGAUUUGUUGAGAUUAUUUUGUUUCAUUCCUGUUUCUGUUUUGUCUGGCUUGUAUAAAUAAGCCAUUGUUGAAUAAUGAAGGCAUGAAUCAUUUUAUCAAAGAAAUACUUGUGUUACAUCUUGGAGGGAUUGGCUUCCUCGAAUCAGCCAACUGUUAACGUUACCAAGUGUAAGGGCAAGAUAGGAAGAGACAAGCAGAAUAAAAAUAGCUUGCCUGUUCCAUCACAUGUGGUGAGCACAUGUGAGGAGAUGGAAUGGGGCAUAUGUAUGUUGAAGAGUUUCGUAACCAAAAUUUUUGGGCUAAAAAACGACUGACUUUUUCAUUUUUACUUGAUUAAAACCGCGAUAAACGAGAAGAACUUUUAGCGGGGGACAAAAUGAGUUUUACGGCUCAUUCAAUACAAGAAACUAAAAUAUUGAAAAGCUUCACGCAGGAAGCAGGAAAAGUAAGGAACCAAAAGUUAACAGAAACAAUCGUCUGAAAAGCCAUUAGCAUCUCUAGAAAGAAAAGGCAAAGCUUCUACGAGAGGCGAAGACCACAAGUGAAAGAAAAGGUAAAGCAUCUGCAAGAGGUGAUAUUAGCUCAUUUUCGACAAAAUAUAAUGACAAUUAAGCUAAAUAAUUACGAAUAAUCCAAAGGGGUUGGAGACUAAAAUUGAAGGUGAACUGCCAUUGAAGGGUCAGAAUCAAUCACUAAAACAAGUGCCAUAACCUCAGCAUAGUAAUAAUUAAAAAAUAAUUUCUUGCGCAUGUACAAAGAGGUGAACCACUCGAAUGUAAACUUGAAAAGUGUUCACAACUGGAUUAAAUAAUGGACAAUUCAUAGUUAUUGUUAAUGUUAAAAGAAAGGAAUAGAUUGGGAAAAAAAAAUUAAGGAUAAUUUACAAUUAAUGCAGUCCUUGUGGUUUAAGGAAAAAUCAAGUAAGCCAGAAAUCAUUAGUACUAUUUUUCAAAUAAGUCCUCUGACCGUGUUUGACCAUUCACCGUACUGCAAAGUAAGCGAAAAUAUCUACUUCUUAGCAGCCCACUUUUAUGAUGCGAUUAAUUUCAACCAUUCGCUGAUUCGCGUGCUGGUAGUUAGGCAAGUUCAUUUGUUGGCUGGAGAAAUUUGAUAUUUUUGGUACCAAAUUUAUACAUAUGUGUGCGUGUGCGUGUGUGUGUGUUUCCUUUAAUUUGUGAAUUUGGUAUUACUUCUCAUCAGGUGUGCGAAACAGAAACAACGGCAUUUAUUACAUAAAUAUUUCUAAUUUGCAGUAUGGAAAGCUUGGAGAUGUUAAAUCUCUCCCAAAAUAACCUGUCAGGUUCAAUUCUAAGUAAUUUUGAAGAAAUGCAUGGCUUGUCAUUGGUUGGUGCAUCUCCUACAUUGAAUUACAGGGCCCAAUUCCAGUUGACAGAUACACAGCCAGAAAAUAAAUAAACUCCGUACGGACAAACUUGACACUCCCGCGGCCAGAUAUGUUCCAAAAUCUACUUAUAGCCAUAAUUUUGAUACAAAAGCCAAUGGAAUUAUUGCCCCUUAUAAAUUAUGAAUUACAUCCUAAUCUAGUUGCUUAAUUUUGGAUAGAAAAUCUUGCUUUGAUCAUUAUACCGCUUAGAAAUAUCAAAUUCCAAGGCUCGUCAUUAAUUGGGAUAAAAUUUUAUAUCUCAGCUUUCUAAAUAAUUUACUUAUCAUUCAAAUAUAAAGUGGCCAGAGGACAUGCCGAGCGUCAAAAUGAAAGGAGAGAGGAGUAGUAGAUAAGAUACGGGUUAGAAGGAGUCAAAAUUUGAUAAACUUUUUUGGAUUGUAUCUCACAAGUCACAACUUUUUUUCCUUUUCUCCUGUUUGGAUCUCAGUGUUUAUAUAAAGCAAAGAUUCAAGGCCCACGUGUCCAUAAGAUGAGCGAUGGUGUCUACCAGAUUAGUUCUCUGGAGUUUAGAUCACCGGGGUAACACAGACAUUGACUCCUUCACUUCUCAAUUGCUCUUUUGCUUCCGCUGUAAUUGUUUUCUGCAACGUCGUUAAAUUAUAUAUGAGUGUUUGAUAACCUUUUCAAUUUCAAUCAACUUUUGUAUUACCUUAAUUAUUUUGUUUCCUUUCUGCGUAAUUGAUCUUGUGUUUUUAUAAUAUCAAUGGUGUCACGAACCUUGAAUAGAGUAUCUUUUACUGUUUUGUUGAUUCUAUUUUAUACGUGUUUGUAUUAGAAUUUUUACUUAUCAUUGAAAAACCCGGGGAUGAAAUCUAACACGUACUAAUUAAUUAAAUUUAUUUCAUAAUAAUAAACUAAAUUAAUUUUUUUUAAUANNNNNNNNNNNNNNNNNNNNNNNNNNNNNNNNNNNNNNNNNNNNNNNNNNNNNNNNNNNNNNNNNNNNNNNNNNNNNNNNNNNNNNNNNNNNNNNNNNNNNNNNNNNNNNNNNNNNNNNNNNNNNNNNNNNNNNNNNNNNNNNNNNNNNNNNNNNNNNNNNNNNNNNNNNNNNNNNNNNNNNNNNNNNNNNNNNNNNNNNNNNNNNNNNNNNNNNNNNNNNNNNNNNNNNNNNNNNNNNNNNNNNNNNNNNNNNNNNNNNNNNNNNNNNNNNNNNNNNNNNNNNNNNNNNNNNNNNNNNNNNNNNNNNNNNNNNNNNNNNNNNNNNNNNNNNNNNNNNNNNNNNNNNNNNNNNNNNNNNNNNNNNNNNNNNNNNNNNNNNNNNNNNNNNNNNNNNNNNNNNNNNNNNNNNNNNNNNNNNNNNNNNNNNNNNNNNNNNNNNNNNNNNNNNNNNNNNNNNNNNNNNNNNNNNNNNNNNNNNNNNNNNNNNNNNNNNNNNNNNNNNNNNNNNNNNNNNNNNNNNNNNNNNNNNNNNNNNNNNNNNNNNNNNNNNNNNNNNNNNNNNNNNNNNNNNNNNNNNNNNNNNNNNNNNNNNNNNNNNNNNNNNNNNNNNNNNNNNNNNNNNNNNNNNNNNNNNNNNNNNNNNNNNNNNNNNNNNNNNNNNNNNNNNNNNNNNNNNNNNNNNNNNNNNNNNNNNNNNNNNNNNNNNNNNNNNNNNNNNNACAUAUCUAUUGGAACCGUACCUCCAACAGGAUAAGUUGGGAAAAGCAAUCAAUAAUUUAACUAAUUAAUUAAAAUUAUUAAAAAAAAAAGGUUGAGGGUGGGACAAAAUCAAAAUUAUUUUUUAUCCUUUACCUCCCCAUGAUACUAUUCAGUCAGGGCCUAGAGACAAAUUAAAUUAAUUAUUACUAAGAUAACAAUAUUAUAGGUAAAACAACUUAUUCUAAUUGAAUUAUUUAAUGAUACAUAUAUUACAUAAAUUAAAAAAUUAUAGAAAUUUUUAUUUAUAUUUAAUUAACUUCCAUUUACAUUGAUUCAAAUAAUAAGCAGUACCAAAUUUUUUUUUGUUAAUAAUAUAAAAUAUGUUAUUGGCAAUAAUAAAAGAAUGUAUUACAAAUAAUAAUACAUUUAAAUAUCUUGUAAUUUAGAUGUAUAUUUUUAUUAUUUAUUUCAUGUGGGAAUCCUCCUUGUUUUUCAGCAUCAAGUUCGUUUGAUUUAUUUAGUCUCAUGUAGCAGUGGUUGAUAAUUGUGUAGGUUAUUACGACUUCCAUACUAGGUGAUCUCUUCCUUUUAAAAUGUAGUUCUUGUUGUAAUAACUAAUGAUUAGUAUUUUCCAGAUAAGUUCUCUGACCGUUUUUAAUCAUUAACUAACAAUUCAUAUUUUUAACGUUUAUUAAGAAUUUUAGGUUUGUCUAUAAAUAAAUGAAAGGAAUUAAUAACAAAUUUAGUGAAGGAUGAACAAUUUUGGUAGAGUUAGGAUGUAAACGAAAAUAUAAACAAUUAAUUGUGGCAUUAAGUAUGAGAAAAACUCAAUCUAGACUACUCAUAUUUUGAUAUAUCAUUUGCCAUUAGAUCUUUAAAAGUCUAAUAAACUUAGGGUUACAAAUCCUUUUUUUUUCUAUCGUGCUCGAGUUCUACAGGACAUUGGAGAAGUCCUAGAAAAUUGAUCAAGGCAACCUGGCUACAAUUGAUAGAAAGGAAACGUUUAAAGUGGCUUGAUUAAUUUACAAGAACCCGGUUCGCGAGUCCAUGGUUUCUCUAGGAAGCCUCAGUCGGCUUAAGGUACCACAAUUCAUAGAAGCAUAAAAAAUAGCUUGAUGUAACAAAGAUUUGUGCGUUCUUUUAAAUUCAGCAUUUGAGUUCGUUAUGAUGAAGUUUCUGAGUUUCUUAAUCACCUAGAUAACAUCCUUUAUUGGCGGAGUCAAGUAUAAAAGGUGCUGAUGGGCAGGUGUGUCAAAGCAGAGUGAUUUGUGAUUAUCACACCAGUGAUCUUUACUAGCUCGGAGUGAAAAGAUCAUCCUUGUAAUCUUGUUAAUACUCUCUAUAUAUAACUUUACUCUCUUCUGAAAUCGAUUAAUCAAAUUUGUCUUUCACCUUGCACAGCUUGCUUAAACAUACUGAAUAUUUGCCUUCCUUUUUCCUUCAGGGUAGUUACUAAAAGUUUUAUAGUCUUGAGCAUGAUUUUAUUGUCAAAGUAUAAAUUUAUUCUUUGCUUUUUACGCUUAAUUCUGCAUGACUUUCUCUCAAAUAAGCAAAUUAAUUUGCAAAUUAUGCUCAAAGUGUUGUAUCCAUUUUUUUAAUGUUAAUUAUAAGCAUUCCCUCUAAAUGAAUAUGAUCAAAUUGUUACAUGGUCCAAAUUAGAAUUACGGUCACAAUGUUAGUAUACCGGAAAUUUGGCUAGGAUCGAGAAAUUAAACUUAGUUUUGUUUGUUAAGUUGGUUGAUAUGAAUAUGAAAAGACAUUGUAAUUCAACUUCUAAAGUCUCUUUAAUUUGUCUCGAACAUUUUGAUAACUUAAACAAAGUAUGUACAUUUGAUGACAAAAAAAGAAGGGUAUUGGAAAAGCCAACCCCAAAAUAUUUAGUCUUUCCGCUCUUUCUCUGGCAUAAUGUUCGGGGAGACAAAAUGCCCAGCAAACAAGUUAAUUUGAUCCGUUAGGAUCGAAAGAAACGUUAAUUAGUCAAUUCGUCCAUUAAUCUUGGUCACAAAUGUUUAUUCUAUGUUCUGGGACGACUUAUGGACUUUAAUUGUAGUUCGAAGGAGAAUAGCUAUCAAUACAAAGAUUUUUUUAACAGAACCGCAUGCAACAAGUGAACCUUUUGUUUGGAUAAUUUUAACAUCGUAGAUGUCUUUGAAAAUUUUUUCCUUAAGCAAUGGGGGAAAACUCUUCCCUACUUGAUCAGGCUUUGACUCAUACGCCUCUCAAAUGGUUGUUUAGAAAAAGCUUGUGGGCACGAUCCCCAUACCCCUAGAAACACUCCACCCCUUCAAAAUACAAAAGGUAUAUGAGGAGGAAACGAUAGGAGAGCAAGGAAAAAAAUAAUAAUAAUUCAAAACAAAGUCGAUACCUUUACAACAGUUCUACAUCUUUGCUAACUUAAGCAUCGCAGUGGAAUUCGGAAAUCUCAUUUUCCAAUUGUCCCAUUUCACAUUUUGGUUUAUUAUGUGUGCAAAUGACUUCCAUCUACCGCACUUGGUUCAGUUCACAUAGAAAAGAAAUAAGUAUUAACAAUCACAUAUAUUUUUUUAUUAUAUUUCCGAUAUGCUUUUCAUGUCCUUGCAUUAUAUAAAUAAAUAAAAAAAGAGAGAAAGAGAGAGAGAAUUGAAGAAUCUUCCCGGAAAAACAUUGAGCAUUAGAUCCUCACUGUCAGCCAUCAAUGAUAAUGGAGGUUCUUAUGUUGAGUUUUAUUACAGUCUCUGAUCAUACAUAUAAAGCAUUUAGUGACAGAAUAAAUUUAAAGAGUUAGACUGUAAUUUUUUAUAAAAAUUAAUUCGGUUCUCUUUUUGGUGGUGCAAGGAUCAUUGACAAUAACUUAUCUUGGGACCAUAACUUUUUAUCCUGAGCCCACACUCUUACAAUGUAAAAUCAAUAAUUUUUUAUAUCAUGAGUGACAUAGAACUUGUUUCCCAACUUUUUACUUAUAUUAUUAAUUUAAAGAGAACUUUACAUGAAGUGAUUUAAUUUAUAUAAAACUGAGCUAACUUACUGUUUUUUUUUUCGGGCUAAAAUUUUUAAGUAAUGACGUCUGAACUAACGAAAAUUUUCACUUACAUAUUCGAGUUCCAACAUAGUAUGCCAGUGAUAAACACAAAAAAAUUGAAAAAAAAAUAAAACGUCAUCUUACUGUUUAUUUGAUGGAAACCAAAUGUUCAAAGUGACUUGAUUUACAAGAACCCGAUCGGCGAGCCCAUGCUUUGCCUAGGUAGCCUCAGUAGCCAUGCGUUGUAAUAAUUAAUAUAAGCAUCAAAAAGAAAAUUUGUUUUGAUGUAAUAAAGAUUUGUACUUACUAAAUUCAGCAUUUCAGUUCGUUAUGAUGAAGUUUCUGAGUUUCGUAAUCAAGUAAAAUAGCAUCCUUUAUUAGCUGAGUCAAGUAUAAAAUUAAGGUGCUGAUGGGCAGAGUGAUUUGAGAUCAUCACACCAGUGAUCUUUGCUAGCUCUGAGUGCAAGAUAAUGUUUGUAAUCUUGUUAAUACUCUGUAUAAAUAAUACUCUCUUCCGAAAUCCGUUGAUCAUAUUUGUCUUUCACCUUGCAGAACUUGCUCACACAAUGAAGAUUACUGCAUAUUUGUCAUUUCUUUUUUCCAAGGAAAUUAUUAUGACAGUAUUGAGAUUUGAAAUGAUUGUUUGCAAAUUUUAUAGUUUAAAAUUAAGCAUGGAUUUAUUACCAAAGUAUGUUUAUUCUUUGCUCUAUGCUUAAUUCAUCAUUACUUGAUUACAGAUAAGUAAAUUAAUUUGAAAAUUAAGCUCGAAGUGUUAUAUGCAUUCUUCCAAUAUUAAUUACAAGCAUUCAAUAUGAUGAAACUGUUACAAGGUGCAAAUCAAAAUUAUGGUAACAAUGUUAGUAAAUAGGAAAGCUAGCUAGUCCCGACAAAUUCAAUACAGUCUCGUCUAUUAAAUUGGUCGAUACGAAGGUGAAUAGAAAUUAUAAUUCAACAUUUAAAGUCUCUCUGUCUCACUCAUUUUAAUAUCUUAAUCAAUGCACAUUAAUUUGAUGACAAAAAAGAAGGGUAUGGAUAAGCCAACCCCAAAAUAUUUAGAAUUUCCAUCCUCUCUCUGGCGUAAUUUUCGGGGAAGCAAAUGCCCAGUGAACAAAAGUUUGAUCAAUCAAUGAUUGGAUCCAAAGAUACGUAAAUUAGUCAAGUCUUUCCAUUAAUUUUGAUCACAAAUGUUUAUCCUAUUUUGUGGGACGACUUGCCAUGGACUUUAAUUGUAGUUGGAAGGGGAGUGGCUAUCAAUACAAAGAUUAUUUUGACAGAAUUGCUUGCAACAAGUGAACGUUUUGUUUGGGUAAUUUUAAAAUUGUAGAUGUCUUUUAAGACUUUUGCCUUAAGCAAUUGGGAAAACUCUUCCCUACUUGAUCAAGCAUCGACUCAUACACCUCUCAAUUGCUAGUCUAGAUUCUAUAUAAUUUUGGCUCGUGUGGAAAAAGCUACUCGUGGAUUCCUCCUAAUAACUCCAAUGAUUUUUCCUGAAAUUAAAACCAUAAUCUUUAGCCUUUAACCAUUUAGACUUUGGGCACGGACGAACAUUGUGUUAUGUAGUUCAUAGUCGAAGUGAAAACGGUCUAUAUUUUAGCCAAUAUUCGGUACAUAAAAACAUACUUUGAAAGUUAAUUAAUCUAACGGAACUCAUUUUUUAGGGGGAAAGGAAUCAAUUUACAGGCAUAUACCUUCAAAAAUUAGAUUACUCAAUUUACAGGCAUAUACCUCUGCAAAUAGAUUUAAUGUCAACGUAGUCAAUCCCAAAAAGUCUACACAAGUACAAAAAUGGUGCAAAUCACGGGAAGCUUAUCCGUCUUAUCAACGCUUGAAAACGUGCUGAGAAUUUGUUAGAUUGAACACCGUGUGGACUGACUCCAUCAGUUGCCCCACAAAAGUUAAUGCAGUCCGCAAUAGUUGUACGCCAAAGCAUUAUAAUUUUUCUAUUGCCUUUUAAAUUGGCCAGUUGCUAAUGAGAACUCAAAAAUGACAGUCGUAAUUUUAUGAACCACCAAUAAUAAUGGAGCCUCUUAUGUUGAGUUUUAUUACAGUCUCUGAAUUCUGACUUUUUUUUAUUUUUUUAUUUUUUUAAAGUCCUGUACGCUGGUGGCGUAUGUAUUAUACAAUCUGGGUAUAUCUAUUGGGAGUCUGAUUCAUACAUAUGAAACAUUUAGUGACAGAAUAAAUUCGAAUUAGACUGGGACCACACCAUUUUAUCCUGAGGCCACACUCUUAUAAGGUAAAAUCAAUAAUUUUUAUAUCAAGAAGUGACAUAAACUUUGUUUCCCAACUUUUUAAAUAUAUUGUUUAUUUAAGGAGAACUUUACGUGAAGUGAUUUUAUUUGUAUAAAAAUGAGCUAACUUACUGCUUUUUUUUUUUGCCAUAAUUUAUAAGUAAUAACGUCUGCGCUAAUGAAAAGUUUCAAUCAGAUAUACAAGUUCCAAUAUAGUAUGCUACUGAUAAAAAAAUAAAAAAAUAAAACAUCAUCCUGCUGUUUAUUUGAUGGAAACCAAAUGUUUGAAGUAGCUUGAUUUACAAGAACCCGCUUUGCGAGUCCAUGUUUUGUCUAGGAAUCCUCAGUAGCAUAGGCGGUGCCACGUUAGGACUAGAGCCCCCCUAACUUUCAAAAUUACAAAUUUAAUUUUAUAUUUGUCUCAUUUAUUAUAAAAUUCCUUAUUAAAAUUAAACAAAUAAUCAAAAUAUUAAGUAUUUAUCUUUAACUUCCAACCCACAAAGAUAUUGUUAUUUUGAGAUUUGUUGCACGCUAACUCUCCUCACACAAAGAAAAAAAGAAAUUAUUUUAUCUUAUUGCGUUUAUUAAAAUGAUUUUACUUCAAUAAAUCUUAUGACACUUAAAAUUCAAUUUGAUGUUUAUAUUACAUAGGUGGGUUCUAAUAACAAAUUUUCAAAAUUGAAAGAGAUUGAUAGGUUAACAAGAAAAAUAGUUGAUACUAAAAAAGAUAAAUUAUGUUCAUUAAUUUGUUUAUUGAUAACAUUAGUAUUAAAUUUACUUGUUGUCAUAACUACAGUAGUAAAAGGCAUUUUCAACUAUGAAUUUUGUGAAAAAUCGUCUAUGAAAUUAGAUUAGAGAUUAAUAAUUGAGUAAUAUUAUUAUUACACAUGUAGAAAAAGAUUAAUUUUGUAUUCUUGAUGAUAAGUUUAUUUUUUAACGUUUUUAACAUAUGAAAACACGUCGAGAUCAAUUAUAAAUGUAUUGAAUAUAUUAAUGAAUUUUUAUUUUUGAUACUUGUUAUUUAUUGACAUUUUUCAAAUUACAAUAUUAUUUAUACUUAGCCCCUGCUAAGUUUAAUUUCUGGCACCGCCACUGCUCAGUAGCUUUGCGUUAUCAAUCACAAUUAAUAGAAGCAUCAAAAAUAGCUUUUUUUUUAAAUGUAAUAUAAGAUUUGUACUUCUAAGUUCAGCAUUUGAGUUCGUUACGAUGAAGUUUCUGAGUUUCUUUACGAACUAACAUAACAUCCUUUGCAUUUUCUCAUCAAAUAAUAAUAAUAAUAAUAAUAACAUCCUUUAUUAGCCGAGUCAGGUAUAAAAGGUGCUGAUGGGCAAGUGUGUCGAAGCAGAGUGAUUCGUGAUUAUCACAAAUGUGAUCUUAACUAGCUCUGUGUGAAACUGGUCGAUAUGAAUAUAAAAAGAAAUUGUAAUUCAACUUUUAAAGUCUCUCUGUCUCAACCAUUGUAAUAUCUUAAUCAAAAGGUACAUUUGAUGGAAAAAAAAAUAUUUGAUGGCAAAAAAUAUUUAGACUUUCCAUUCUCUCUCCGCCAUAGUUUUGAGGAGAUAAAUGCCCAGUAAGCAAGUUUGAUCAGUUGCUGUUAGGAUCCAAAUAAACGUUACUUAGUCAAUUAAUUUGUCCAUUAAUCUAGACCAAAAAUGUUUAUUCUAUUUUCAUAAUUCAACCCCAACCUUGGGCAUGGAUUUUUUUUUUUAAAAUUGUUAUAAUAUGAGAAUCUAAAAAUUAAAAUUUAUGGUGUGUUUACUUGUGAAAUUGGAAAAUCAAAAUUCACAGUGGGAAUGAUUGAUAUUUUUUACUUGUUAAAAUGGAAUGGAGAAUCGGAAUAAAAUAUGUAAUAUCCACAUAUUUUUUAGUCAAGGAAAAGAAAUUUGAUUCGCAUGGGAUUGAGAAUCAAGCUUGCAUUCCUUGAAUUCACCAUUUUUCCCAACACACAUUUCAUAAUUUCAUUUUUUGUCCUCAAUUAAAAUAUUAUUUUAAGUUAUUGUCAUUAUUCUAAUAAUAAUAAUAAUUUUAAAAUAAUAAUAAUAAUCAUCAUCAUCAUCACCAUAAUGAUAAUGAUAAAUAUAAUAAUAAUGAAAAUAACAACAACAACAAUAAUAAUAACGAAAAAUAAUGAUAUUAAUAACCAUAAUAAUAAUAAUAAUGAUAAUCUAAUAAUACUAUAAAUAACUAUUAUUAUAAUAGUAAUAAUACUUUACAGUUAGUAAUUUCAUCAUUUCACAAGCCUCCUUCAGUGGCUGAUUUUGGGCAUCUUGCGGAUCUUCGCGUUUAUCAUAUCCACCUUUUAAAAGAAGAAGAAGAUGAUGACGAUGAUGUGGUGUGUGCGUGUGUUUAGAACUGUACCUUCAGCCAGUCUUUAGUUUUAAGAAAGAGUAGGAGAGGAGGGGGAAAAAAUGGAGAGGAGUGGAGGGGUAAUGAGAAAUUGAUUUCUAUUGUUUGGCUUUACAAAAAAAAUUAAAGGGAAAGAAAUUACAUGUUUUUUUUAUUUGGACAAGUACACCCAUUGGACUUUAGUGUUAAAAUGUUAAUAUUAACAGUAAAUAUAAUAAAAAAAAUUAAACUAUAAAUUAAAUUAAUCUAGAACACAAAUUAAUAAGAAAACAUUUAAUUUUAUAUUAUAUUUUUAAUUGAUUGCUUCUUAUUUUAUAAUCAAAAUAACUAACCAAAAAGUAGUAGAUGGACGACUAAAAGUUGCAUAUCGACGUAGAAGAACCUGACAUACGGCUCAAACGGUGAUUGAUUUACUGAACUGCAACCAAAGGAACCAUUUUUUGGAUAAUUUCAGAGCAAUAGUAUUCAGACUACUAUGUAAAAAACAUUCUAAUCUUGGAAAACUUUUCCACCUUAUGAAACAUUGGAAAAAUCUUCCCAACUUGACACAUCGACUUGUUGACCUCUCAAUUGCACUUGUGUGUGGCUUCUAUAAAUUUGGCGUCCAGCAUGCUUGUUUUCUGCACCUUUGUAUGUUUUCCAAAAGCUAAGAGUCAUCAAAAGAUCUUUUGAAUUUCAAUGACACUUCGGUUUAACUUUAUUUAUUUGAUUCUGUUUUUGUAAUAUCAAUGGGGUCACCAACCCUCAGUACAGUAGUUCCUUCACUUGUUUUGUUGAUCCUAUUUUUUGUGUUAAGUUUUUUAAUAACUGUUUCUUCAGAAUCUAAUGAAGAAGCUGAUGCUCUUCUCAAAUGGAAAGCCAGCCUUCAAAGCCAUAACCAAUCUCUCCUUCCUUCCUGGACUAACGCCACCACCAAUGUUUCGUCCAAAAUAAGCCCGUGUGCUUGGUAUGGAAUCAGUUGCGAUGACGCUGGAAGAGUCACCAACAUCAGCCUCAGAAAUACGGGAUUAAGUGGUACGCUUCGUGAUUUGUCAUUCUCAUCGUUUCCUCAACUUGUGCUUCUUGAUCUCAGUCAUAAUGGAUUGUUUGGUACCAUCCCAUCUCAAAUUGGUAACCUUUCGAAACUCAGCUACAUUUCUUUAGAUUCCAAUCAGUUUUCCGGAAAAAUUCCAGCGGAGGUUGGUCUUCUGACUCAUUUGAAGAUCCUUGGUUUUCAAUUCAAUCAAUUAGAUGGCUCAAUUCCACCAGAAGUUUGUCAGUUAAGUUCUAUCGAGGAGCUUUUCUUAUAUGCUAACCAUUUAAACGGGUCGCUUCCUCUUUUUGUGGGUAACUUGAGCAAUAUCAUUCGAUUGUAUAUUAGUAAUAAUUCACUUUCUGGUUCUAUUCCUAUGAACAUUGGAAACUUGAAAUUUCUUUUUGAAUUAGAUUUGAGUGAUAAUCAACUUGGUGGUUCAAUUCCUCUUUCUUUUGGUAACUUGAGUAACUUGGCUCGAUUGUACCUUUAUAAAAAUUUACUCAUUGGUUCUAUUCCGUCAAGUUUAGGAAACUUGAAGCUCAUUGACUUACAGUUGAGCAUUAACCAACUCACUGGUUACAUCCCAUAUUCCUUAGGUAAUGUAACAAGUUUAUCAUCUUUACUUCUAGCCAAAAAUAAGCUCUAUGGUUCUCUUCCGCCAUUUGUUGGUAAUUUGACCAACCUAAAAGAAUUAUACCUCCUUAAUAACAGCCUAUCCGGUUCCAUUCCUCCCUCCCUUGGGAAUUCAAUGUUAACCUAUCUAGUAUUGGAUUUCAAUCAUUUUACAAGUUAUUUACCGCACAAUGUUUGUCGAGGUGGAGCAUUACAGUAUUUUACUGUUUCUGAAAACCAUUUUCAAGGAACAAUCCCUAAAAGCUUGAGAAAUUGCACAAGCUUAUUCCGAGUACGCUUUAAUGGAAACAACCUUACUGGAAAUAUAUCAGAAGCUUUGGGCACUUAUCCUAACUUGACUUUUAUAGAUCUCAGCCGCAAUAAUUUUUACGGUGAAAUCUCAUUUAAUUGGGGGAAAUGCCCAAAAUUAGGCACUCUCAAUGUUUCGAUGAAUAACAUUACUGGAGGUAUACCGCGUGAGAUUGGAAACUCGUAUCAACUACAAGCACUUGAUCUUUCAUUGAAUCAUAUAGUUGGGGAGAUUCCAAAGGAACUGGGAAAGUUAAAUUCUCUAACCAAGCUCAUUUUGAGAGGGAAUCAACUGACAGGGCGUCUACCUACCGAAAUCGGCUCACUCAUUGAACUUGAAUACCUCGACUUUUCUGCUAAUAAGUUCAACAAUUCAGUACCAGAAAGUCUCGGCAACUUGCUGAAAUUGUACUACUUGGGCUUAAGCAACAACCAGUUUGUCCAAGAAUUGCCAAAGGAAUUGGAGAAGCUAGUUCAACUUUCAGAAUUAGAUGCAAGUCAUAACCUCUUUGGAGGAGAGAUACCAUUUCAAAUAUGCAGUUUGAAAAGCUUGGAAAAGUUGAAUCUCUCCCACAAUAAUCUCUCCGGUUCGAUUCCAAAUUGCUUUGAGGGAAUGCACGGUCUAUCAGUCAUUGACAUUUCUGAUAAUCAAUUGCAAGGCCCAGUUCCAAAUAGCACAGCAUUUCGGAAUGCCCCAGUGGAAGCGUUAGAGGGGAAUAAGGAAUUGUGUGGAAGUGUGAAAGGAAUGCAACCAUGCAAAGUUUUCUCGACACACAAGCAAAAUUCUGGAGCCAAGUGGUUUGCACUAGUGUUCCCUGUUUUAGGAGCACUAUUUGUUUCAAUGGCGUUGAUAGCAAUUUUCAUUCUCCGAAAGCAUAAGUCAGACUCAGGAGAUCGACAGAGUAGCAACCAGAACCCUCAGGGAUUGUUUUCUAUAUUAAAUUUCGAAGGGAAACUCGUGUACGAUGAAAUUGUUAGAGCAACAAAUGAUUUUGAUGCAGAGUAUUGCAUUGGAAACGGUGGACACGGAAGUGUUUAUAGAGCUGAGCUACCAUGUGGGGAAGUCGUAGCUGUUAAGAAAUUUCACUCACCACUCCCAUGUGAUCAGAUUGCAGAUCAAAAAGAAUUCUUGACCGAAGUUCAAGCCUUGACAGAGAUACGACAUCGAAACAUUGUGAAGUUUUAUGGAUUUUGCUCACAUGCCCGACACUCUUUUUCGGUCUAUGAAUUUCUUGAAAGGGGUAGCUUGGCUGCGAUCUUGAGCAGUGAUGCAGCAGCACAAGAACUGGGUUGGAUUCAGAGAAUGAAUGUGAUCAAAGGCGUAGCUGAUGCUCUGUCUUACUUGCACCAUGACUGCUUUCCUCCGAUUGUCCAUCGAGACAUAUCAAGUAAGAACUUGUUGCUGGAUUUGGAAUAUGAAGCUCAUGUUGCAGACUUUGGAAUCGCUAAGUUUCUGAAGCCAGACUCGUCCAACUGGACUGAAUUUGCAGGCACAUACGGAUACGUUGCACCAGGUAUUUAUGUAGUACAUUCAGCAGACUUGUAAAAGCUUACUAGUUUAUGCACAUUUAUCUCAUAAACAGAGUAAACAUUUUUUUUUUUGGGUCCUUGACCUUGCAGAGCUUGCUUACACAAUGAAGAUCACAGAGAAAUGCGAUGUGUACAGUUUUGGAGUGUUAGUGUUGGAAGUGAUCAA
Molecule: long non-coding RNA, 63716 nt
Filed under: Citrus x clementina
Lineage: Eukaryota; Viridiplantae; Streptophyta; Magnoliopsida; Sapindales; Rutaceae
Description: Citrus clementina (C. clementina) long non-coding RNA (CCLE_LNC004322)
Source: RNAcentral